Molecule: long non-coding RNA, 48478 nt
Filed under: Coffea arabica (coffee)
Lineage: Eukaryota; Viridiplantae; Streptophyta; Magnoliopsida; Gentianales; Rubiaceae
Description: long non-coding RNA (CARA_LNC007946)
Source: RNAcentral
CGCCUCAGUUUCCAUUUGGAUCCUUACAGUGAUGUGGCUGCGGCACCUGGAAUCCCACACGUCUCGUCUUUUAUGUGUUUCACAUUGGGUACUAAUAUUGUUCCGAAUAUUCUGUUCUUUCAACUAGGCUUUAAGGUGCUUAGAGUAUUAGACAUAUUCUUUCUGCAUUUUGAUUACUUCCCUGCCCGAAUACUAAAACUGAUUCAUUUGAGGUAUCUUGCGCUGAGUGCUACUUAUGAGCUUCCUGCAUCAGUAUCACAACUAAGGAAUCUCCAAACGUUGGUGAUUCAUGGUCCAUGGCACUGCCGGGAGUCUGGCAGUAGCCCAACAUUGUUACUGGAGUAUUGGAGUAUGCCUUCAUUGAGGCAUCUCCAGUGUAGCGUGACGAUUUAUUUGAAGAAUCCUCCUGGAGGAGCUAAUAGUGAACUCCCUCAGCUAUUUGUUCCAAAAAACCUACAAACUCUCUCUACCAUCAAAUUUUCAUCUGCAUGAAGGAAGUUUUCAGUGUCAUGCCCCAUCUCAAGAAACUUGAAAUUUGUGAGACAGAAGAAGACUGCUGCGGCAUAUGUGAGCCAUCUGUAUUACUUAGGAAUCUGCAGUACUUGAAAGAGCUUGAAACACUUGAGUGCUGCUUCUACAAACAAAGAGUAGAAGUGCGGCAAAUAUCAUUUUUUUCUGCCCUGCCAUGUUCUCUUAGGCAAUUGAGUUUAAGUUGGAGUUAUUUGCCAUGGGAAGACACGAGCUUGAUUGGCAUGUUACCCAGACUUGAGGUGCUCAAACUCAAACAUUUUGCUUUCCGUGGACCUAAAUGGGAGCCAAAGGCUAAAGGUUUUUGUCGUCUGACACACUUGCUGAUUGAGAACACUGAUUUGGUCCAUUGGGAAGCUACAGUUCAUCACUUCCCACGCCUUCAAUAUCUAGUUCUGAAGUCUUGCAAGCUCUUGGAGGAGAUCCCUUUUGAUGCGGAGGAAAUUGGUACCCUGCAGCGAAUUGAGCUGCAUCACUGUAACAGAACUACCGAGAUAUUAGCUAGAGAAAUUCAAGAACAGGUUGAAGGCAUCGAAGUUGUUAUUAGAAGUGAGCGGUAAGUGAAAAUUCUCGUCUAAUUUCCGAUGAACAUCGGUGCAAAAUCGAUGCAAUUUCAUUUGAGUAGCGUUGUGUUGUCUUUCCCUGCACCUGUUGUUGUUGAUUGAUAUAUUGUUAUACGUCUUCGAUUGGUUUAUGAAGCUACUUAUUUCCUUCUGAUGUCUGUGACAGGAAUCCAGACCGUGCAUAAGAAGAAAAUUCAGUUCCUCUUUUGAGGUGGACUUCCCACUCCAUCUCAACUUCUCUGCUGCUCUUUUCUCCUCUACAAGCCAUUGUGUAAGCAUUUAACCAUGCAUUGAAUGCGCAGUCUCUGAUUAAUUUAUGUGCAUGGGGAAAUUUAGAAUUGUAUAUGAUCUUGGUCAGCAGCUGACAAAUUGCUUCCAUUCUUCAUUAUGUUGAUGCCUUUUUUUUUUCUUUCAGUAUUACUACGUUUGCGUCUCUCAACUUAUCAAUUUUACUGAGAAGAAACUAGUUUCAUUAUUGUUAUCAUGGAUGAUAUGAGGUCCUUUCACAAUAUAUUUGCUUGAUGAUCUUCUUGUGCAUGCUCUUGUGCUUUGAAAUGAUAAUCGUGCAUGUGUUCGUCCGAUUUUUGGUCACCGAUGAACCAAGGUUGCUCAUGUUACUUCAACACCAUGAUACGGUGCCGAUUGAAUAUUGGCUGGGUGUAUGUUAUCAGUCCAGUACCAGGAAAUUGGAAGGUUUAUAGUUUUCUGCAUAGUUCCAGAAAAUAAAUUUGCUUUGGAAAUUCAAUGCGAAAAUAUCCUUCUUGUCUUAGAUAGCAAAUUGACCAGUUAGGGAACUUCUAACUCAUUUAAUAUUGGUUAGGAGCUAGGAGCUUCCAUAACUAAGACACCUUUCUAUUCCCCAAGAGCAGCUUCCCAAAAUAAAUGGCUGCAAUAUACGAAUAAAGUAGCAAACCUAGCCAAUGUAAGAUUUGUGGGUUGUAGAUGGAAAAUUAUCAGUUUCCGUUGGCACGUCUCAUCAUCUGAUGAAAUAUUGAUAGUCUUGCACUUGAAGUUCUCACACCCGCAACUAUUUCUAAGAUUCUAACAUACUACACGAAGUUGGGAAUCUCUUGUGAGUGGUAUGGAAAAGUGUACUGUGGUUUUGGGAAGCAAUGGCUGAAUAUGGGAUAUGAAAGAAAAGCCCUGCUUUUGCUAUUGGAGGAGUAUUAGAAACUGCUAUCUCUGAGACAUUUUCGUAUCACCUCAGCCAAAAAUUUAAGGAUUCCUACCAUUUUUGUGAGCCGGUUCCUUGGCUCUGAGAAACCUGGACAAGAUCACAUCUCAGAGAAUCAUUUCGGUCUUCCAGGAUCUUGAUUAGUAGUUGCUCCCGAAGUUUCAUUCCAUCAUUUGAUAUCUUACUAGGAGGUAUAAAACGCGCGAUGCGCGUAGGCAACUAAAGAUAAUAUGCCCUGCCAAAUAUGCAGAUUAAGGGAGUGAUUGAAUUUUGGUGCAUUCUUCUUUUAUCCAACAUUGCAUGCAAAUUCUUUUUUGUUUUUUUUUUGUAUAUCAGUAUGAAUAUGCAUGGCACUUGACAGAGGGAAAAAUAUCAUUGAGCUAUAUAGAUUAAUGUUGAUAAUCCAAAAGUCCAUUAAACUUCAAGGCAAUGCAAAGACUUCAAAUCCAUUGCAUUACAUGAAUUUGGCAACGAUGAUGACAAUGUACCUGGCUGCUACACUGGAUAGUAAAAUCACAACCUAUAAAGCGAGAUAUUCUCUACUUUUUUAGAAAACCUAAUAACUUGCAGGUUGAAGCUUUGUAAGUUGAUGCUAUAUCUUUUUUGGAUUCAUCACCCGUGGCUUCUAUGUAAUUUCACAAAGUAAUUGAAAGCAACUAAAACUUAUCCAUUGCUGCAGAAAUAGUUGUAGCAAAGUCGGAUAAAUUCCUCAAGAAGAUACUACUGGAGAAAACGGGGAAUAACCUUACAUUGCAUUUCAACAGAAGCAUUAAAACAUGGAAGAUUACUGAUACAGUAAAAUGCCAGAAUACUGAUACAUUACUGAAAUGUGCCAGAUUAAUAAUGGCCUAAUUGAGCUGAAGAUGAAAAUUAAAAUGCCAUGGAUACAUUUUUUCGAUGACUUUUCGAUUGAAUACAACAACAGCAAAGGAUGGUCAGCCCAAAGAUUGGUAACUGCUCUUCGAAUGCAUUAACUUGAGUAGAUAUCACAAUGUAAAAUAUUCAUGCGAUUACAAUCUUUGAUUCAUUAAUUCGACCAAAAAAGGAAGAAAAAGCAAAGGACCUAACAGUCCUGUUCAUAACAGAAUUGGAACUUAAAAGUAAAUGAUAUACGACAAAAUAUCCUACUACAGAAAAUUUUGACCAAAAGAGACAACACUCAGAUAAUUUUUCAUCAGAGAUACUGCAGUAGUUUACAACAACAAAGACAGACAUGGAUCUAGAUAGCCUAGCAUCCCAGCCCAUCAGUAACUCAAAACAAUAUCGAAUUGUAACUGAAAAUGGCAAAUCUCAUGUAACUAAAGUGGGGUAACAAGCAACUGCUAGUAUGAUUAAACAAAAGAAUUAGUUGCAAAAUUGAAUUUCUGGCUACAGUGUACAAUUUACUGUUUAAGUUUAGCGUACACUAUAUAGAAAAUGAUAAAGCUUCUUGAAAUGCGACAUAAGAGAAAGCAUCACUUAGAAACAAUAUUUGGCAGUAGUUCUGCAAUUUUACCAUGAUCAAUACAAAAGUAUGGAGAAACAAACCUAAGAGACUUAUUUAAAUAUGCAAGAAUAACAAAAGACAAAUCCUGAAACAGCUACAGCUGAUGGAUUUACACACUUUUGUGAACGCAAAGGGCAUAACAUUCUAUCUGGAGGCAGUGGAAUUCCCUCCUUUGCAACCUGUUUCAAAAUGAAGCAAUAAUCUGUGUGUGAAUAUCAAAUGGCUAUAGAAACACAAAGUUCAUAAAGUCCUUUAUAUUUUUUAAUCCCUAUCCUUUUCUUUCAUUUUUUUUUCAAUUUGUGUAAGAAACCUAACCAUUAUAACAUCUCUGUACCUAUGGUUCUUAUUUUUUUUUUCAUUUAUUACCAUCAAUGGUGCCCCCAUGCAAAAUUUUCCCAAGACCUGGCAAGGGUGAGCCAUAUGUCUCAGAUAGGAAUAACUCAACUAUGGAAACUAUUCAUAUGAAACAUAACAAUUACCACGACUUUCUCACAAGUCAUAAAAGAAUAUCCUAUAUGCAAAAAAAAUAUACAAAAGAAUAUCCUACAUGCAAGAAAAUAUAAUCUUAACAAGCUACCAACCAUUCACGGAACUUCCUACACAAUAAAAGAAAAUAACCUCACCUUUGGGGGAGGAGAAGGCGGUGGCGGGGGAUACACUGUUGGAGCAGACAUUCUCUCCUCAGCAGAUUGGUGCCACCCUUCCAUCAUCUGACAUGCACAUCAAUAAUGAAAAGUUAUGAAUUUUAUCAAUUAUCUUGUGUGGAUGUCUGUGUUUCUUUGAGUGAGAGAGAAAGAGAGAGAGUACAUGACAACAAUGAAAAAGAAAAUACAACUAAUUAGGUGCAUGAUUCAACAUGAUCAAGUCUGAAACAAACAGAGUUUUUAAUAGAAUGAAAAACAGUCCCCAGAUGAAGGGGACUUUAAAAUAAAUAAAGAAGAAGAUGAAACCAAUAGAAAAAUCAAAUGAACCAAUGAUGAUAAGACAAUGACAUGAAGAUAAAGAAAGAAUCAAAUAAAGCUGCUAAUGUACGAUUUGACAUAAUCUUGGUGAAGUGCUCUUACUUUAAAGAAAAAAUACUGUAGCAAUCAAACCAGUUCGUGCAUAGUCAAGAACUGCAUACAUACUGCUUAGAAGUGCGCCUUGUACUGCCUGAAUGCAAAUAGCCAAGUUAUUGAUCAUAGAACCUUCAAAAUAGUCAUUGAAUUUAUAGUUUCAAAAAAAUGACAACCACUAGAAUCUUAGAGCCAAAUUUGUUGAGGUUCAGCAAUAUGAUAGAUAACAUGGUAGGCAUCUAUAUGCACAAUGCUUGAAUAAACAUGGUAACUGCUCCAUGUAAUCUCGGACUAUUAUCAAUAUCCGAAAUAUCAGCAUAAAGCCAUUAAGAAAUAUGGAAUCACAUAUCUUCAGCCAAGGGGGGCCAUGGAGUCUCUCACGUUUGCGGCUCCUGAUUUUAGAAAUUCUUGAAGAUGUAUCUAUCUACCUUGACAAAAGAAAGUGCCCAUGCUCAAAGAAAUGGAAGGAAAUAAGUAGAAAUAUAACUGAAAUCAAUCCAUAAUAAAUGCACUGCUAGGUCCUAAAGAAAGGUUUAAAGAUGGCUCAACUAAUUCAACUAACAACUACAAGUAUGUCUAAGAGUGGUUUGAUUGAACAAAUAAACACUUUCUCCAUUUUGAAAACAAAUUUUCUUACUUGAUCUUUUCCAUCAUAACUGAAAUCAGUCUAUCAUAAAUCCACUGCUAGGUCCUAAAGAAAGGUUUAAAGAUGGCUCAACUAAUUCAACUAACAACUACAAGUAUGUCUAAGAGUGGUUUGAUUGAAUAAAUAAACAUUUUCUCCAUUUUAAAUACAAAUUUUCCACUUGACCUUUUCCUCAAACUACCAGCUCUAUGGAGAAAAUUAUAAGACUUAUAUGAAAAUGCACCUAGUCAAGUGUUAGUUUGAUAGUUAAAGUACACAUAGAAACAAAAAUUUUACAGUAAGCAACAUUAAUGGUUUGAAAAUAUGCAUGAAUUUCCAUGCAAGAUCCUAUAUAAGUAUAAAUUACCAAGUUGUAAAUUGAUAUAGACAGCAAAGAUAGUCCACAGACAAGAAGGAUGACGGUAGAUCUAAUAGAUUGGUCCACAUGACACAUACCUAGAAAAAGUACCAACUCCUGGCUUUAGCUGGACAAACAUGAAUUCCAAGAGCGUGUAAUCUCAAAAAGUAGAACCCAGUAGCAUCUGGUAGAAUAUAAAAGCUGAUAAGCAAAGGACAAUCCUGCAAAAAAAGGAUCCCAAUGGAUUUGGUUGUGAGUUUGGUGGCUGUCUUGGCACCCCAGGCUUUCCAACAUUAUCGUACAUUUCUGUAAAAUCCCAAGAUUAAGAAUAUUUUUCUUCCCUGUUUAACCAAACCAGGAAAACAAUGGCAGAAAGAAAUGCACACAAAAAGCUAAAGAAGAAAAAUAAACCAGCGACCACAAGCAUGAGCAUUCAAAAACUUAGCAAAUCAAAAAAUCAAAAGCAUACAGGAAUUGCAAGAGACACAGACCAAAAAAAAACUUCUUUACAGAUCAAGAGGGAAAAAACAGAUCUAACCCAAAAAAAAAUCCACCACCACCAAGUGAAUGAAAAUAAAAGUCAUAAUUUGUCUCAUAAGACCUGAUGUUCUCUAUGUUGACAGAAAAAUAGAAGCAAAAUUAGAUAAAUAAGAUUAAUGGAAUACAUAAGUUUCCAAUUUUUUAGGAAAAUUGUAGAGGGACAAAACUUCUUUCUUCUUGUAACUAAAUCAAAAAGAUACUCACAGAACGAAAAGCUUCAAAGCUAAAUAAAGAAAAGCAAAACCCACAAAAAUACAAAAAAACAGAACAUAAAAGAUGUUUGCUCCAAGGAAUGAAAGUUCAAGCAUCAUUUGCACUUGGUAUGAAAAAUUAUUAUUCUAAUCUUUACAAAUUGUAGCCUCACAUAUGGUCUGAUGCAAAACUUAUUCUUUCCAAAAUUGACUUAUGAUCUGAAUGCAAAACUUAUUACUCUAAAUAUGAUCUGAAUGCAAAACUUACAAAUUGUACAGUACAACAGCAUUAGUAAUGCAACCACAAACUGAUUAGUAAAAGGCAUAACAGAAGGGAAAAAAUUUCCAACAGCACUGACGAAAAAGCAUCACAAGCCUGAUAGCAACUCAAAAAAAAAUGAUCAAACAUGACACAAGAAAAUUGUGCAAUAGCUGCAACACAAAAAAAAACUGUUAAGGGAAAAACAACCACCAAAGAAAUCACAAACCAGUUUCCUAAAAGCAAUGAAAAAAUUGCUUGCACAGCUAUUAGCAUCAAACAAGUUUUAACAGAGGAGGAGAAAAACAUGAAAACAGAGCCAAUCUAAGGUAGGAAGACAAAAUAUGUAUUCCAGCAGGAAAUCCAAGUCACGGGGAUUUCUUUAUUUUUUUUGCCUUUUUUAGGGUGGAAUCCUAGAACUAAAAAAUAACCCAAAUAGCACAUGAAACAAGCAAAAAAAGCUUAAAAGGUAUUAUGAAGGAACUUUAGUCAAAGAAAAGAAAAUGGAUGGUCAGCAUAUGUUCAUUCAGACCCAAACUUUUCGUAUGAAAGAAACAAGAAAUGAAUAAAUGUAUAACUAUGAGCUGGACCUUACACAGAGAUGUAAUUAGGCUUUCUAACUCUGGGCAUCAAAAUCAAAGCUUCCCUGCCUCCUGAACGCUAGGCAAACCGAGCAUUUUAAAUCUGUAAUAUCAAAUUUUCAAAAAAUCAACUUUCAGUUUAUUCACUAUUAACAGGAAGAAAUACAACGGGGAAAAAAACUAAUCAAAAAAAUGCAUAAAAAUAGUAACAAAACUCAAAGAACAUAAAAAUUUUUAAAAUUAAAAAAAAUAUAUAACAAGAAGAAAUACAAAGAGGAAAAAAUGAAGCACAAAAAUAGAUAAAAAUAGUAAGAAGACUCAAAGAACAUAAAACUUUUUAAAAUUACAAAAAAUAAACCAUACCUCUAAUCCAGGGCUGCUGCGACGGUCGUUGAUUCUCUGAAACUAAAAUUCCUAAAAAACCAAGAGAUAUAUACAGAAAACUGUGAAAUUAUAUCGAUCUAUUGAAUGUAGGGCUUUUCGGCAACUACAAGCAAAUCUGUGGGCAAAUAAAAGAGCCACAGAUUUUGCAGUCCUAGAGAGCCCAAAAAUUUUCUAAAAUUUAAGGGAGAAUCGGGGGAACAUUAGCUUUGCAGUUGAUCGGAGAAGGAGAGAGAAGGGAUUGACAACUUUUUUUUAGAGGAGAGGGUAUAAGUGGGCUUACGAACACACCGAAACCAACUGUAGUCAAAGUGAUGCCUCUAUGAAGCAUUUCAUCCAACACCUUACGGGCAUUCUUUAGGUUCCCAGUGAAUUGCAGGUUUCAGAUUGGAUUUUGGAAGCUGCAGAAUGGAGGAGUUGUUGGAAAAUCGAGAAAGCAAUAUGGAUUUUCCUGCCUGCAAGGUGGGAGCAUAUAAGUGACUGAUAAAUGCAAGGGUCAAGGUGGAUAUGGAGGGUUUUGACGUGCUUUAAGAGCAUUUCUAAAUUGGUGGGCAAUGGAGAGAGAUUUGAGGAUGGAUUGGAAAGUAGCAGAAGUGUGCAAGAAAUCCGGCUGCUGAGAGGCCCAGAUAAAGAAGCCAAGAGUCAGGUCGGGAAAUUGAUAGGGCAUAAUUUGUUGUUAAUUUUAUGAUUAAUUUCCCUCUUUGUCCUUGCCAAAUAUUGUUUUAAUUGUUGAAAUGUACUUAUAUUUGGUAUUUGGCCCUAAUUACAGGAAGUGAAGCAAACAAGUGCUAAAAAGGAGACUUUAUUGAGAAAAACACUCCACACAUGGGAAGUUCUAAAAGGAAAUACAAGCCGGGCUCCACAGGAUGCUACAAAAAGGGAUUCCCUAUCUUUAUGCUGAAAAGGGUGGACUUGUACUAGGAGUCUUACGAGUAAAGAGGAAACUAAAAACAAGGACUUUGGUAAAGCUCCAAUUCUUUGGCCCUUGGACUCUCAAUUCAGUGGGGACCACUAGAGAUAGCGUUAGACUUUCUUUUGGCUUUAAAAAGGGAGAAACGUACAGGAGGGAGGUUAUCUUAUCAAUCAAUAGUUUUAGUUUAGACUUUUAGCAUAGUUUUAGUUUUUCUUUUCUUAGCUCUUUCGCAUGGCUGUUCUCCAUUAAUGGAGGACUAACCUCUUAAUUCUAGUCAAGGAGACAACUGAAGACUUGGUUCAACAAUUACUGUAAGAUCGAAAUUAUUUUAAUCGCUUCCUCAUUUAUUGGUAUUUAUGUGUUUCCUGUUUUUAAUUGUUAUAGUCCUUAUGUAUGAUUGAUUAGUGCGCAAUAAUUAAUUAUUCAUAUAGGCUAUUUUGCUAAAUAGGGGUAAUUGAAUCCGUAAUUGUUCGUUAUCUCUACCUCAGUAGCAACUGGCGUAAUUGGGUUUAUGUCAGGGGAGCAUAUGAUCUAGCUUAAACAAACCCUCGUAGCGUGUUUGUUGGUUAGGAUUGGGUCUUUCUAAUUAUUAAUGCAAUCUAGGAAUUAAAUCCUACGGUCGUACCUAGGGUUAUUUUUGGGUUAGAGAAAUAGCUAACGGUCGUACCUUAGCUAUCGAUAAAUUAAGGAAGGGUUGGUUGUUUAUCGCGUGCAUGACAACUAUAACUAAUCUAUUACUAAAUGUUGGAAUUAUUUCUGCAUCAAUGAUCAGUGUCUGAACCAUUUCUGAAGUGUACCCUUGGUUAGAGUUUUCCCUUAAUUAUUUCUCUUAAUCAAUUAUUUCCUGCAGUUAAUUUAUUUAGUUAGUAUUUAAUCCAAAAAAUCCCCAGUCCCUGUGGAUUCGACCCUACUCACCGCUAUAUACAAAAUCUGUAUUUUUCUCGAGUAGGUAUUUAUUAUUGCACAGGUUUGGCACCUGUCAAUUUUUGGCGACGUUGCCGGGGACUGGUGUCAGAUUAAUUUGUUUCUUUUUGAGUUUAUUUUGUUUUCAUUUUUUUUAAAUUUAUUUUUCUCUUAUUUUUUUUAUUUAUUUUUUAUUUUUUUUAUGGCUGCUAACAUUCCAUAUUUUGAUGAUAGACUGGACUUUGUUCCUGAAUGGGGUUAUGAGACUCAUGUUUUUCCUAAUGAUCAAUAGGCUGUUGCAAAUUGUGGAAUUUAUUUUGACUCAGGUUAUUCAACUGACACAUGCCCCGUAUUUCAAGAUAAUCUAAGUUCUCCACUUGAUACUUUUGGGGAUUUUCCACCCCAAUAUCAAACGCAGUAUGACCCUUAUUCAAACGGGUAUGAUCAAGGAUGGUGGGAUAAUUCCAAUUUUAAUUAUGCGACGGGGCCAAUGGAUUUUCAACAGCAAGAGUCUCAGCAAUCAUCCUCCGUGUCAGGUAUGUCUCUUGAAGAAAUGAUGGAAUUACUAAUUGUAAUACAAAUCGAUUUCAUCAGGAGACACAAGCGAGCCUUCGCGACCUGGCAGAUCAACUAUGUCUAUUGAUAUCCAGAAUGAAUCGAUUGGCUUCUCCAAUGAAAAAAUUGCUCUCGAAAACCAUUGUUGAUCUAGAAGAAAAUGAGAGUGCAAUUUGCUUGACUGGUGAUGAGGAGCUGCAAGAGUGUCAAAAUGAGAAAUCUACAGAUGCAGUUGAAAAAGAAGCCAAAAAGGAAGAAAUGGAACCCCAACCGCAACCCAUUCAAGUGAAAGAAUCCAGUGAACAAUCUCCAAAUGCGGUGACAUCUCCUCCACUCCUUCAUCAAUAUUCUCCUGACUCUUACUCUUCAAUUCCUGUUAACGAAAUUGACUUUAUUAUACCAGACAAUUUUGAAUUUCAUGACAGCAAUAAAUUAAGAGUGGCGAUGGCGAGAUAUCUUGAACCAAUAAAUGCAAGUGGGGGAGGAGUGAAUGGAGAAUGCAAAUUAUCAUCGACUCGUUUGGCGCCAUUCACUAGUCCAUGGAAGCCCGUAACUCGUGUGCCCAAAGAUUACUCAAUCUAUGAGGGUUAUCAGGAUCAUAUUGAAGAUGAAACAUUGAAGCGAGCCACAAGAUUUUAUCCUCCGUGAACAAGCAUAGAAUGUCUAGCCAAAGACAUUAAAGAAAGGCGCUACUUGGGAGGCAACCCAAGACUAUUUGUUUCAGUUUUCAUGCAUUUUUUAAGUUCUAGUUAAGUGUUAGUGUCAAUUAAUAGUUUGAUGUUUGGUGACAGGGAAUUAGUAGUUAGACGUGCCCCCGCCAGGUGGUCAUGCCUGAGGGAAAGAAAUUUUCGUUCAAGAUCUGCGGAUUCUAUAGCAGUUAGACGUGCCCAUGCCUAAACCAGAGGUUCUUUGAAAAAAAAAAAUCAAAAAUUCAAAAUAAAAACAUUUUCCGUUUUACACCUUCAGUUUUGGUAUUCAAAAAUCGAAUUUUCCAAUCUCAAUUCAAUUUUUUUAAAAAAAAAAAUGCCAAAAUUUUUUUUUUCUUUCUCUUUUUUCUUCUUCUUUCUUUCUUUUCUUUUUCUUUCUUCUUCUUCCUUCUUUCCUCUUUGUGUCUGCCGCAGCACCUCACCUCACUCACGCUCCUACCACCAUAGCUCCUCCAUCCGCCGCCGCCAACUCCUUUUUCCUCUUCUUCCUUUGCCUUCCUGUCGUCGCUGCGCACCGUCCGCCACUGCCAGGCGAUCCCGCAGCAGCAUUAGAAGUGGCAGCCCACCAGCUGAACCAGGUGCGCAGUCAUCCACCAGCGCGCGCCGCCCUCUUCUCCACGGCGUGCGCUAGCAGCGCGCAAGAAAUCCUAGGCGCGAUCCAUCCGCGCGCCUCGCCUGCAGCCCAGACUAGCAAAAGAGGGCAGCAGAGCCAGCCGCAGCAGCCGCUUGUUCGACAGCGCCGCCACUGCUAGCCGCACGCCACCACUGAUCCCAGCUCGCGCGCGCAGACAGCGCACCAUCCUCCUAGCGCGACCUGUGCAGACCACCAGCUCGCGCCACUCUACCCCAACCUCUUCACUGUUGCUGCUCCGCUACUCGAGCCAUUCCCACCUGUCCAAAUUGACAGGUGGAGGUAUUGUAUUUUCCUCUUCGAUUAGUGUUUUCCUGGUUCAUCAAUUGCUAGAUUUUGCACAUUUUUUGGGGGUUUUGUGAUGGCUGAAACCAGGAAGUAAUUUAGGAAUUUUCUGGGGUUAAUUUUGGGUACAAUUGAGUCAAACUGCUGCGAAAUUUGGGGGUACUUUGGGGGUGAAUUGACCAUUGCUUCUGGCUUUAAUUUUCGCUCAUUUUUGGUGCUGUUUGGGUGUUCGAAUCUAUUUUGUUCACUGGAUUGGUUAUUCGCUUUAAUUUCUCCCUAUGCACUCACCAGUGGUACUGGUGAUGGUAGUUGUUUAACAUCUGAUAAUCCUGUGUUCUGGAUUGCCUAAUUAAGCGAGUUGUGCCUAUUGAGCGUUUUUGGUUGAGUCGUUCCAGUCCACCCUGUGUUUGAGUUUCUUGAUAGCUAAUAGCAGAGGUGAUUUAGGCAUAUUCUGGGGGUGCUUUUUGGACAGAAUUGGGUUUAAUUGCUGCCAUAAUGGGGGUAUUUUCUUUUAUUUAUUGAAUUAUUGGCCGCUUGAUUACUUUUUCCCUGUGACUCACCAGUAGUACUGGUUGAGAUCUUUUGCCUAUCGUUGUGGCUUAUAUUUGAAGAUACUUGCUUAUUUUGCAGUUUCAGUUCUUGUGGUUGAGUUGCUGCCGUUAAAUUUGAUUCUUUCCUGUCUGUGCACCAGUGGUACUGGUUGCAUUGUUGCUUACAGUUUCUUGAUCCUCGGUGCUCGACUGCCUAUUUGACUCCUGGGUUUUAGUGCUUAAAUUGUUUUUCGAAUCUUGAACUGUGGUUGCUGGAAUUGCCAAUUUUCGUGGUCAAUUGCUAAUUUUUGCAGGUUGAAGUGGGUAAUUGACUGUCCAAUUGGAGACAGUUGUUACGAUAUUGGGUCCGAUUGUGUCUAAUUGCUGAAAGUUGUUGAUUUAUUAAGACACUAGCACAGUCCCUAGUUUGUUCGAGUUGCUGUUCUGUUGCAUUAUUGGGAGCUGUGCUCUAGUAUUGUGGCUACUUUCCUGCGUUUAUUUGUUGAAUUGGGAUAUGAAUGUGCCGUUUGCAUUUGCUUGUUGAAGUCGGUUGUCUUUAAUUGACUUGCUUGGGGUAUUUGGAGCAUUUGUUGCACUUUUGGACUGCAUUGAUCCUGAAUGUGACUACAUGGGGUCCAUAAGUACUUAUUGAUUGCAUUUGUUAUUAGUGUUGAGGUAUUCGUAUAACCUGUGGGUGAUUGAAUGGUGCCUAUUGUUCAUUGGGUUGGUUUUAAACAAAAAAAAAAAAAUAUAUAUAUAUAUAUAUAUUUUUUAUUACUUUGAAAUUCCUGUUUCCAUUAUCUGUUGGCAAUUGUAGUCCCUUGUGAUUAGAGUGACAUCUAGAGAUCAUGGUAAGGCCAAGAUCCGCUUCUAGGUUUAGGACACCUAGACACUCGCAGCCUCCUCCUACCCCAGGGGCUAACGACUGGGUCCAACUCCGAAUGCAAGUUGCAUAACAUGGUGCAGAAUUUGGCAGCACUCCGCCCGACCCACUCCUGUUUUGACAAUUUCAGGGAAGUACCGUUACCCUUCUCCUUCCUUUUGCUGUUAGUUUAUCACAUUGAGGGCAAUGUGUGAAUUAGGUGUGGGGGGGUCAGUUUGGGGUGCUAGUAUUUUUGUUUUUAGUUUCUAAGGGCUGUUCCUUUAUUUUUAGUUUGAUAUUUAUCUCCCUUUUCGUUUAUUUUCUUUUCUUUUUUCUAGUGGUCAGCUCUUCUAUGACUACCAAGUUUUGAUGCUGGAUUGUUGCCUCUAAUUAUGCUAUUGCCAAGUUUUAUUAAUAAAAAGGUAUCAAGUUGAUGUGGUUGAGUUCAGGGACAUCUCUCUGGCUCUGGUGAAUAUCAGUAAUUGCUUGACUCUUCUAAUUUUUUGUUAACUUUUCUAGGCAUAGGGAAUGAUUGUUGGCAUUUUUCAUGUGAAUUGGUCCAGUUAUUAAUUUUAGUUCUCCAUGUCUGGAAAUUUUAAGGCUGGCUGCUGUUAUUCUUGUGUUGCUUUUAGAUAUCGUGCUAUAUGGUUGCAAAUAAGAGGUGACUGUACUCCGCUGGUUAUCACUACUGAGUAACCGGGGAUCUUCACCUAAAGUGUCGAUUCUCGCGUCAAAAGGUAGUAAUUGUUAUGAGUGCGUGGUCCCGUAGCGAUUUGAGCUGAGUAACCGGGCUCCUCCAUCUACCAAAUAUUGGAGUUCGCGUCAAAAGGUUCUAAUGGCUAGAAACUAAGUCUUUUGUUGUUAGUAAAAAAAAAAAAAUAGCGAAGAAAAAAGUAAAGUAAAGAUUGUGUUAGUAUGUGAAUAAGUCAGCUUGCCGGUUUGUGAUUUUAAUGUCGAUAUUUUAGUUAAUAGUUGGACCAUUUGCUAAUAAAUGUGAGCAACCAUUCCUUUUUCUUAGAUUAGUUUGCUUUAAAUUGGAGGAGUUGGUGGUUGGGAAGCUAACCGGAGUGGUCUUUCUUGGAUCUUAACUGUGAUGCUUGAUAUAUAUUUUUCUGGGCAUCUUGGCAAUAUGAUAGUUAAAGCAAUAGCCAUUGUCGAAUUUUUGGUGUUCAAUUGCUGUUCUUAUGCUUGAGGGCAAGCAUGAUUUAGGUGUGGGGGGAAUUGAUAGGGCAUAAUUUGUUGUUAAUUUUAUGAUUAAUUUCCCUCUUUGUCCUUGCCAAAUAUUGUUUUAAUUGUUGAAAUGUACUUAUAUUUGGUAUUUGGCCCUAAUUACAGGAAGUGGAGCAAACAAGUGCUAAAAAGGAGACUUUAUUGAGAAAAACACUCCACACAUGGGAAGUUCUAAAAGGAAAUACAAGCUGGGCUCCACAGGAUGCUACAAAAAGGGAUUCCCUAUCUUUAUGCUGAAAAUGGUGGACUUGUACUAGGAGUCUUACGAGUAAAGAGGAAACUAAAAACAAGGACUUUGGUAAAACUCCAAUUCUUUGGCCCUUGGACUCUCAAUUCAGUGGGGACCACUAGAGAUAGCGUUAGACUUUCUUUUGGCUUUAAAAAGGGAGAAACGUACAGGAGGGAGGUUAUCUUAUCAAUCAAUAGUUUUAGUUUAGGCUUUUAGCAUAUUUUUAGUUUUUCUUUUCUUAGCUCUUUCGCAUGGUUGUUCUCCAUUAAUGGAGGACUAACCUCUUAAUUCUAGUCAAGGGGACAACUGAAGACUUGGUUCAACAAUUACUGUGAGAUCGAAAUUAUUUUAAUCGCUUCCUCAUUUAUUGGUAUUUAUGUGUUUCCUGUUUUUAAUUGUUAUAGUCCUUAUGUAUGAUUGAUUAGUGCGCAAUAAUUAAUUAUUCAUAUAGGCUAUUUUGCUAAAUAGGGGUAAUUGAAUCCGUAAUUGUUCGUUAUCUCUACCUCAGUAGCAACUGGCAUAAUUGGGUUUAUGUCAGGGGAGCAUAUGAUCUAGCUUAAACAAACCCUCGUAGCGUGUUUGUUGGUUAGGAUUGGGUCUUUCUAAUUAUUAAUGCAAUCUAGGAAUUAAAUCCUACGGUCGUACCUAGGGUUAUUUUUGGGUUAGAGAAAUAGCUAACGGUCGUACCUUAGUUAUCGAUAAAUUAAGGAAGGGUUGGUUGUUUAUCGCGUGCAUGACAACUAUAACUAAUCUAUUACUAAAUGUUGGAAUUAUUUCUGCAUCAAUGAUCAGUGCCUGAACCAUUUCUGAAGUGUACCCUUGGUUAGAGUUUUCCCUUAAUUAUUUCUCUUAAUCAAUUAUUUCCUGCAGUUAAUUUAUUUAGUUAGUAUUUAAUCCAAAAAAUCCCCCAUACUUUGGACUCUAGAAGAAACGAAUUAUCCCCAGUCCCUGUGGAUUCGACCCUACUCACCGCUAUAUACAAAAUCUGUAUUUUUCUCGAGUAGGUAUUUAUUAUUGCACAGGUUCGGCACCUGUCAGAAAUGCAAAAUAAAUAAGAACGAGAGCAAGGGAGAGAAAGAGAGGAAGAGAAAGGGAACGGAGAGAGUUUGUGGAGAAGAGGUGUAUCUAACCCUAGAGGAAUGGAGAAAGAAAAUAGAGAAGAAAAGGAAGAGGGGAAGAGGAGAAGAUGAGAAAGCGGCGGCGGAGGAAAUUUACGAAAACCCUAGAGACGAAGUAUAUGCAGACGUCUGGCACAUCGCGCGGAAAAAAAAAAGCUGGUGACUCACAUGUGCGGCACGUGAGAGGACGACGAAAACAUCCACGUCAGAAGAGCUCUUCGGCUCUUAUUCUACUUAUGUUGAAAAGAGACUGGUAACAUGUGAAGCCAAGGAAGGCUAACAGGUACAGGGACAUUUCAUCCAAAUGCCUAACAAAAUCUUGUCCACUUCAGUCCAGAGAGUUUGGUCAAACUUUUAUAGUCGUAGGUAAUUGCAAAAAUUUUGAAGUUAAAAGGUAGUUGUGAAGGUGCAAAGUGCGAUCAGAGUAUAAUUGAGGAGAACAAUGUGCAAUUAAUCCAAAAUGAAAACAAUGAGUCAGGUCCAACCCAAUCAGUCAAAACUUUUCUCUAUUUUCCUCGAUUUAAAAUAAGAGUAAUAUUCACUUUGCAUUAAUUUUUAUUUUGGUCUCGGAAUUUGGAAAUAAGAUGUUUUGGCCUUUAAAGUAUAAAUGUGUUACACUUUAAUUCCUAAAGUAUAAAAUUGGUUUCAUCUUAAUCCUCUUAAAUAUAAAAUCUAUCCCACUAUAGUCCAUAAAAUAUAAAAUUUGUUCCACUUAAAUAUAAAAUUUGAGGUAAAUCUUCCAUACAUUGUAUCCUAGUGGAGUUUGAUGCAUUCCAUACAUGAAAAAUUUGGAAUUCAAAGUCAACUUCAGAUCUGUUUGGAUUGCUAUUUUCUGGAAUUUUGCAUAAGUAUAUACUACAGCGAUUUGAUAUAUGUGAGGCAAAAAGGUGAUUGAAAAUUUUGUUCAUAAAAAACGUAAAAAUUUUUUUAGGGGAAAAUGACUUUUCAAAUAAAGUGGCAUGCAUGACCUAUUCGUGUGUACACAAAUAAUGUAAGAUCUUAUCGAAAGAAAAAGACAAUGUAAGAAAAAUUAAUCCAUGAACUCUAUUUCAUUUCCCCCAAUGAUUUUACUUAAAUAGGACAAACUUUUUUAUAUUUAAGGAACUAAGGCAUCUCAUUUCAAAGUAUAGGGAUGAAAGUGAAAUUUCGGGUAAAAUUAAAUAAUGUAAAGUGAAAUUAACUCCUGAAACAAUAAAAGAUGGAUUUCUCGGGGCACCAAAAAUGAGGCCUCAACAACGGUCAAUAUGAUCCAUUGCCCCCACAAAAAUUAAAAGCUAUCCAAACACACUUUAAUAAUGUUAUCCACACAGUAUAGCAAACAACUGUAUCCCAGCACUUGACCAGAAGACUCUCCUCGGGUUGACUAGUAUACUCAAAAUCUGAUCAUUCUCGGUAUUCUUCUUAGGUAAGUAUCUCCGAUCGGUCAAAAACUUUUCUGUUUUUAUGACAAUAAGGGAUCAUUCAUUUUUCUGAAUUCUGAUUAUUGUGUUCCGCUUCUCUGUUACUGGUGAGUGUUAUCCUAACAACUUCCCUUCCAUUUUUUUUGCUACGCCGAUCAGUCGAAAGGGGUUCAUUUUUGCCUUUUGAUUGCUCUGUUAGGUGCUUAUGUUCAACAAGUUUUUCUUUUAUCCCGAAUACAUGCUUAUCCCGUCUCUACUAGAUAUUUUAAACCAAAAAAUUCUCCUUUUUAUGCUUCUGGUUCCUGUAAUUGCUUGUCUUCCAACCCUUUUUCAUGUACCUACAGAUUUUGUUAAUCGUCUUGGAGACAUUCCUAUUACAGCUGAGAGAUGACCUACGCUGCAGUUGCUUCCCUGGUACAAACGCUGGAGUAUCCGCUGCAAUUUCCCUGUUUGGUUCUGGAAAUGAAGAAGAUGCAAGCGGAGGUUGUCACACAGGGAUUCCGUCAAUUCGUAUUGUUCCUGAAAGGAGAACCCUUAUCUUCGUGGAUCAUUGAAGAACAUGGAACUCUCUCAUCCAGCUUUGAAGAAUUUCUUGGGGCAGUUGGUCCGCAUGCUGACUUCUUGGAGGUCAAGAAAAGAACACUGUCCUUGAGCUGCGGAAUACCAAAAUUGCAGGAGCAAAAGCCACCAAUUCUGACGGAAAUUGGAUCUUUGGAGCAAGACCUGAAGAAAUUUCUGGAAACCACUGUCCUCGACAUCGGGACAGAUCUAUGCAACUACGUUGUUCAUCAAACUUCUCGUGAAACAGUAGCAAAAAUGCUUCGGGUCGUGGAUGAGCUCAAACAGGCCAUAAUCUUUUUCUAUGAAGUUGCUUCUGAGAUCACAAUUCUCUUACCAGGAUCUUUUCUCCUUGCUGAGUUAUCUUGAUGAUUCUUCUGAUAAAUUCCAGGAUCAUGAAUUGCUGAAAUGCAUCAAAGACGUUGCUUAUAGAGCAAGAGAUCUUGUUGAAGAACGUAUCGUGGACAAACAAGUCGAGUCAGUAAUGACGGAUCUCAUUUGCACUUUGUCCAAAAGCAAGUCACCAGCUAGACGCCUACCACUUAGAUCUCUUGAAACAGUGGUCGAGAGUGUCUUCGAUGGAAAGAAGGGCAUUCGUGGAGGUUUAGUUCAUGCAUUACAGGAUGUUCAAUCUUUCAAGAGAAAGACUACAAAUACAGAUGAAAAGUGUCUAACAUUGCAGGGAUCAAGCAUCAGGAAAGCACCACUUGGUUCGAAUAGGGAGGAUAUUGUGGGAGGUCUUUUAUUUACUAAAAAAGUUGGUGAGGUCAUCAUGUUACUGAAAAUGGAAGGAGCCCCAACUUUGCCGGAACAAUUAGUAGAAGAGAUUCUACCUCUUGCACUGCCCGUUGGAGAUUUUGUUCGAGGACCUAGGCAACGAACUAUAAGGGCGAAACUUGAGUAUACAAUGGCUACUUGUUACAGAGGAAAAUUAUCAAAUGAAGUGCCAGAAUUAGUAGAAUGAGCUCCAGCAUUUGACGGUCAAAGUAUCCCACAAAAUUCAAGCACUUUGAAACAGAAGUUGCACAGUUCAUAUUUACGAAGAUCAAUUUCUCUUAUAUGAAUUGUGUACCAGCUCAGGAGAAAAAAGGGGGGGAAAAAAAAAAAGAGAAAAAAGGGUCACUUACUUUUAACCUCAAAGAAAAAAUGGAGAGAUAGGUAAACUUGAAUUAUAAUUUACACAAAAAAUCGAUACAAACGCAAUUUACAGUAACUAAUUCAAACUACUUGGAGUGGGUAAUAGUUCUUGCCAAAUUGUUCCUUUAGGAAUGCAACCAACGCUGCUCCCUUAGCAGGGCCCGGUCCAGCUGUUCUAGGACUCCUAAAUAUUCAGCUUGUGUCACUAGCGAGGUCCCCUCAAAGAAAAUUGAGAAGAAAAGAAAUCAAAGACGAGACGUUUGGCACUUGGGGAGACUUGGCUGCUUCAUCUUCGUUGACCACAAGUUCUCAUCGCCGACUUUCUUCUAGCAAUCGUGAUGCCGAUCAUCAAAGUCCGUUCCUCCUCUGCUGCUGGUAAGCUGUAGCUUCUCUCUCGCAUUCAUAGUUGUCAGGCCCCGGUUUUUUUGCUUUCUCCAACAUGUUAGUAUGCUCUUUUAUUUUUUAUUUUUUCCGAUUCAUUCAUAUUUACUUAUUUAGUAUGCUCUUUCUCCUACAGUUUCUUUUGCUUUGUCCUAGAUGUUAGUAUGUUGUUAUUUUAUUUUCUUUUAUAUUUACUUAUUGCAGUCAGGUUAAAUCUUUGUUAAUUUGCUAUUGAUUACAUCGGGUAGGAUUGACGGAGGGAAAGAUGGCUUACGAUGACGUUGUUUAUCUGUUGGUGGAGGAGGUGGACGAGUUAGUUACUAUCCUACGCAAAAUACUGAAUAUCAAGGUAUUGCAAGCCACGUUAUUUAUAGAAAAAGUUGUUGAGGUCAUCAGAGUAUUGGAAAUGGAAGGACCCCCAACUUUGCCGGACCAAUUAGUAGAAGAUAUUGCACCUCUUGCACUGCCUAUAGGAGAUUUUGCUCGGAGAACUAAGCCACAAAUUACUUCACCGUCAUAUGAUGAGUAUAGGAUGAAUAUUCGUGACGGCUGCUGGGAACAAAUGCUAUCAAGAGAAGUGCCAGAAUUAGUAGAACAGAUUGGUUUAAAUGAGAAUAAGCUGGAGAAAUAUCUUGAUGAAUCUGACUUCUACAACUCCUGGGAAGAUUUGCGUCACAAGUCAGCCUUACUACCUUGUCGUGAGGCGGUGAGGGAUCUGCUUCAGUCUUGUCGAGAACUCAAAGACGCCAUGAACUUUUUCAGUGAAGUGGGGACCGAAUCAGCUUUUCUCUGCCAACAUCUAAAGUUCUUGCUGAGCUUUGCUGAGUUGUGCCAGCGUUCCAAUGAAUGGCGUUGCCGCCAAUUUGUGAACGGCAUCAUGGAUGUUGCUAACAAAGCUCUUGAUGCGCUGGAAUGUGCAGAUAGAGAUGGUCUUAGGUCACUGAUGCGGGAAUUUGAAUCAAAGGGAUAUGCUUCAGCUGAGCUUCUAACGGAAAAUUGUAUUGAGGAGACGGCCAAGAAAUUUUUUGAUGGGAAAAAUGGAAAGCGAUUGGUUUUGUUGGAGACUUUAGAAAUGCUUCAUUCCUUCACGGAAGAGAUUGAUACUACUUGUGGGAAACUUGGCAGCGAAGAUCGUCAAUCGCAUAACGCUUCAUUUGGAAGAAAUGGUUUUCCUUCACUGUCUGUGAUUCGUGAGAAGUUUGCUAGAGGAGAUCUUCCUUCACUGCCUAUCACGUAUUAUCUACGUGCUUUUCCUUUAAUUGAAGGAAGAAAAAGAGGGAGAGUUAGUGUUAGGUCUGGUAUCAGACGACCUAACAAACAGGUUCAUUAUCAGCGUGCUUCUGGAGGAAAAAGAAGAAGAGUGUCUAAUAUCAUACUAGAGCUGCAAAUGAAUCGAGUUGAAUCGAGUUUUGGCCUAAUCGAACCGAACAUCGGCCUAGUUUUAUCAAACUUGAACUCGAAUUCGAGCUCGACGAGUUGCCAAUCUAAAUAUCAAGUUCAAGGUCAAACUCUAGCUCUAAUUCGAGCUCUUGAGCGCGAGCUCAAGCGAGAGCAUGAGCGCGAGCGCGAGCUCGAGCUCGUGCUCGAGCGCGAGCUCGAGCUCGUGCAGCUCGAGCUGGAGCUGGCAAUCCAGCUCGUGCAGCUUGAGCGCCAGCACCAGCGCAAGCUCCAGCUCGUGCUUGAGCUCGAGCUCGAGCGCCAGCGCCAGCUCGUGCUCGAGCUCAAGCUCGAGCGCCAACGCAAGCUCGCGCUGCUCGAGCCCCAACUCGAACUCGUGCUGCUCGAGCGCCAGCGCCAGUUCAAGCUCAAGUUCGAGCUCAUUCGCCAGCGUGAGCACGUGCUCAAGCUCGAGCAUGAGCACAAGCGCAAGGUAGCUCGAGUGCAAGCUAGCUCAAGCGCUUAAAAAAGACUUGAGUUUGAUGUUGAUCGAACUUGAGUCGAAUUUUGACUCCAGCUGCUAAUGAGUAGCUUAAUUUUUUUGCCUCCUUAAACAAGAUCUAACAAACAGGUUAAUUAUCUACGUGUUUUUCGAGGAAAAAGAAGAAGCGUUGUUAGUGUUAGUCUGGUACUAGACUGGUUAAGCGUCAAGUUCCGGCAAUGAUGACAAACUAUGUUAAUAGAACCAGAAUGUAUGUGGUAUCGCUGCUGCUACCAAGAAUGGAGAAAUAGCUCGUGAAGAGUUUUGUGAAGAAGAUAGAGCAAGAUUACUAUAUUCACGGUAUGGGUCCGUUGAUCACCAAACCACUAAGAGAGCUUUUAAUGAGUUAUUUAGACCUUUGGGUCAUUGAAUAAAUAUUUUGAAUUCUCUUGUGAUUUAGUAAUUGAAUGCUUUUGGGUCUAGAAACACUUUUUAUAGCUUUUAUACUCUGUUUCAUGGUGAAACUGUACUCUUUUGUCUCUGCUCUACUUUGUGGUAAAAUUCUACUCCUCUUUCGUCAUAAAUCAUGUAAUCUGGUGUCUGUUCUCGUUGAUCAUAGUUUUCUAGAGAAUGCAACUACAUAAACAGCAAUGCAUUGCUCAGAACAGCUUUGUACUGUCCAAGAGAUUAAUCUUCCCCGAUUUUCAAUUGUUGAGGCAUUGCCGGGUAUUUAAUUACCAACAGAUACCUAUGCAGAUUCGUGCAUGUUAAAAAGAAUACAUAGUUACUUUAUUAUGCAUUUUCUAGGAAAGAAAGCGGUGUGCAUUUAGAAUAGGUACAAAAGUUAUUUUAACCUUGGCGUACUGUCCUGAUUCCUCAUUGUAGUUUCUAGGUUUUUAUAUUAUUUUUUCUUUUGGUAAAAUAGUUUCAAGAUACUUGCUGCAAAAUGUCCGUGUGAUAUCCUAAUGCAAAUGAAUCACCUUGUUAAAUUUUGUUUCUAAAAGAAAACAGAAGUGCUUUAUGAAGGACACUUUAGAAUGCAUAUAUUCGCAGUAGCAGUAAAGAAUUUUCUAUUUGAAUUCCAUGUUAGCUUGAAUCCUCAACCUAGGUAACCAUUCCUGUGCGUCUCUUUGAUGCGGGUUUUGGUUCCCUAGGUUUGCAUCAGAAUUUGGUAAUAAUAUACGAGGAUGUUAAAAACUUUCGUGGUCGUAUAAACAUAGCCUUUCUUGGCCAAGUUUCAGUCUCCGGAUGCAAGCCUAGAAGGGGGCACCAUCUUACAGGAUCUUGAUCUUCUAGGCCAAACCUUGAUAAACUAUGUGUGAACGUGGGAACACAAUGCAAGAGAAAAUUUAUUUAACUAAUUUCAUUCGUGAUUGGGUAGUUUUGUGGUAAUCUAAUUGUUAGAGAACCAAUUUUCAAAGCGAAGCUUACCAACGUUGUUAUUGUUGUUAAUCUUGGCUUAGAUUUCCAUUUCUGUCUUCCAUCAAAUUCACUGAAGCCAAAUUCAUUGAAUGCGUUAAUUGUUUAUUUUAUUGUCUUCAAAAAUGGAUGAGAAACGAGUGCCGAUUAAGUGUUUGAUGUCUAUAUGCCCAUUUGAUCAUCAAGCUCAGGUUAAGUGUUUGAUGUCUCUGCUGUUUUGCCAAUUGACCAGACAGGCCUAUAGACAGCAAGUCAAUUAUUCCUAAAAGAUCCAACCCCCGCCACUGCCAAGCAGUAUUGCUUCUACACCAUCCAAAUAAAACAAAGAAAAAACCAUCAAAAUAAAGUCGACAAAAUUUAUGCAAUCCUUGUAGUGCUCCUUUGAUCUGAUGAGAAAUCACAUGUAGAAUCAGUAGAAUGUAAAAGUUGCAACUUCCUCGAUUAUGUAGGGGAGGAGCCACUGGGCCCUGAUAGGCUGGUACAGAAUAUCGUAAGUUCAAUUCUGGAGCAAUCUCUUCCUAAAAUUUUGGGGGAUAUUUUGCUAUUUCUUUAGUUGGUGCUAUGGUAUCUAACUCAUCUGUUUCAUGUCUAAUGAGCUAGGAGAUUCCAUUGUUCUGGGAUGCAGAAUUUUCAUUAUUAUCCGGUAUACUCAUGGUGGCAAAUCGCAUAAAAGAUCAGUUUGGUUGCAUCUUGAACCCAUUCCAGAUUUUAGGAGGAGUAUCCCCAAAAUCCAAGCUCUUUUCGGCUAGAACCAUGGUCAGGAAAUAUGACGAUCAGAAAGUUUUGCAUAAAACAUAUCUAAGCAGCAUAAAACUACUAUACUAAGUAGUAAUUGAUCAAGGGGCAAGAAGGCAAAGCUAAGAGAGCCUACUAUCUUUUGACUUAGUACGCAAUUACUAAGUUCUGAAUCCGAGAGAUCUGAGCCUGUAGAAUAAGUUGUGGAAGAGGAGAAUCCACAGGAAAUCACCGGGAUGGGAGGACUAGGGAAAAUCAAUAUUUGAUCGCUCAAAACAAAAAAUGACCAAAGAUAAUGUACUGAAAGUGGUAAAAAAAAAAAGCUAAGGAAACAGUAUAUUAUCAUUAAUUUUCACCUUCCUUUCUAGUUAAUUUUACGAAUGUAAUUAUUAAUUGAAUUUUAAUUUGACAAAAUUUAAAAAUGUAAGGUGUAAAAUGUUCAAAAUUAAGCGCUUAGAGUGUAAAAUGAGAAAGUAGUACUAGUUUAGAGGGAUAAAAUAAGAGUACACACCUCCCUUUCGUCUACGGACAGCGCCCACCAACAAUGGGAAAAAUGUGAGAAGUUGACAAUGGUGCCGACUUUCAGCAUGUCCUGUGGUACUUGGUUUCUCUUUUGACCAGAUACAAGUAGAUGCGGAGUGCAAAUUUCUGAUUUUUCUCCUUCCACUAAGGUGAGUGAGGUCCUGAUGUGGUACUUAGUUUCUCUUUUGAUCAUGAAUUCCGCGGUGAUCACCAAGUGGUGAAAAGUUUAAGAGAUCUCGCUAACAAGGCCGGAGAUAUUGUUGAUGAUUAUCUGUUUGAUAAUCCAAUGAAGUCAAAGAUCAUUGAAUUCAAACAUGUAACACUCGGUGAUCAAAGAGAAUCACUGAUAGGGAUUCAUUACGUCCGGAAAGUAGUUAGGAAAUUCUUUGAUGGAGAGAGUGGGGUUUGUCAAGGUUUGUUGCAGACACUGCAGCUGGCUCGUUCAGUUAGACAAAUGAUGAGGAAGAUGUAUGAUAAAAGAGCUGGUGGCAAGGAAUAUUUGCAGUCAGGAAAUGCUUCACUCAGGGGCUCAUUACAGCACGAUUCAAAUAAGCAACAUAUUGUGGUUGGCCUUGAUGACUACUCGGGUAGAAUGCUGGACCAAAUUACUGGAUUUCCAUCUAGACUAGAAAUCGUCACGAUUGUUGGGAUGGGUGGCAUCGGUAAAACAACACUUGCCAAAAACAUCUUUGAUCAUCCUUACACCAUUUAUCACUACUAUUGUCGUGCAUGGGUUGCAGUGUCCCAAGUUUAUCAAGUGAGGGAUUUGUUAUUAGGCAUUUUGAGCUCUGUUGGUCAACUCAAUGCUGAAACCUAUUCAAAAACCAAUGACCAAUUAGCUGAGGUCUUGUAUAGAAGUUUGAAGGGCAGGAGAUAUUUAAUUGUCAUGGAUGAUAUGUGGAGUGCUAAGGCUUGGGAUGAUGUCAAAAGAUCUUUUCCAAAUGAUAAAAAUGGAAGUCGAGUAAUAGUAACUACUCGGUUUAACGGAUGUGGCUAUCUAUGUCAAUCCGAAAACGCCUCCUCAUUUUAUGAGCCUGCUAAGCAUAGAAGAAAGCUCGAAAUUAAUGGAAAAUAUAUUGUUUGGAGUGGAAGGUUGUCCUCCGGAGUUGGUAGAUGUUGGAAAAUAUAUAGCCAAAAGGUGCCAAGGCCUGCCACUUUCUAUUGUUGUUGUAGCUGGUCUUCUUUGCAGUAUCACGAGAACACUUGAUUCCUGUAGGGCUAUAGCAAGCAGCAUUAGUUCAUUCCUACGCACUGACGCCGAACAUUGUCUAGAAAUGCUUGCUUUAAGUUACAACCACCUACCCCCUUACUUGAAAGUCUGCUUCCUGUAUAUGGGGGCUUUCCCUGAAGAUUGUGAAAUUGAAGUGCAAAAAUUGAUCCAUUUAUGGAUAGCCGAGGGCUUCUUGGAUCCAAAAGUUCUUGAACAUCCAGAAGCAGUGGCUGUGGAUUACUUGGAAGACCUCAUUCGCAGAAGCUUAGUUUUGGUUGGAAAAAGGAGUUUUGAUGGCAAAAUCAAAACAUGCCUCCUCCAUGAUCUUUUGUGGGAACUGUGCUUAAGAGAAGCUCAGAAAGAAAACUUCUUAUCUGUGAUAAAAGGUUUUUCUGCAGGUAUAGCUGAUCAGCGCCGUCUCAGUCUCCACAAGGACUCUUAUCUUGAUGUUCACUUGGCACCCGAAAUGGCAUAUGUCAGAUCAUUUCUGUAUUUUGAUGUGGGUUCUGGCUUCGAACCAGACAUCUUAUUCUUCCAGUUGGGCUUUAAAUUGCUAAAAGUAUUGGAUGUGAUUUUUCUGCGAUUUGAAACUUUCCCUGUUCAAAUACUAGAACUGGUUCAUUUGAGUUACCUUGGACUGAUGGUCACUUUUGAGCUUCCCAAAAUGUUAUCUAGACUCAAGAAUCUGCAAACACUAGUGAUUCAUGGUCCCUGGACUAGCACAGAUUAUGCUGAGUCCCCAAAUCUGUUGUUUGAAUAUUGGAGUAUGCCAAAGUUAAGGCAUCUCUAUAUUACUGUUGCUUGCUGUUUAAGAAGUCCUUCUGUCAAAAUGGAUAUUAGUUUAUGGCCAUUCACUUCAAAAUGCAUCCAAGUUGUGUCCGGAAUUAGAUUUGCAAGCUGCACCAGGGAAGUUUUCAUCAGCAUGCCUUCUCUAAGGAUGUUAGGAUUGUCUGAAACCAAGGAAGACUAUGAGAUGGAUUGGUCAGCCAAAUGCCUAAAAGAGCUUUUCUAUUUGCAAGAACUUUGAACUUUUGAAGCUAUGCUUCUACAGGGAAAGUACAAAAAUACGGAGAAUCUUGAUGCUUUGCCAUCUAAUCUCAGGAAAUUGACCAUAAGUUGGAGCUAUCAACCAUGGCAGAAUAUGACCUCCAUUGCCUCGUUAGUUGUUACCCAAACUGGAGGUGCUCAAACUGAAAAAUUAUGCUUUCCAAGGGCCAAAGUGGGAACCAACUGAAGGGGGCUUUCGUGUUUUGAAGCACUUGCUGGUUGAGAAGACUGAUCCAGUGUCAUGGGAGGCCACAAGCAAUCACUUUCCAUGUCUUGAGCAUCUAGUUCUCAAGUCUUGCAAGUACCUGAAAGAGGUUCCCUACGGUAUUACAGAAAUUUCUACCCUGAAGCGGAUAGAGUCAUGGUUGGCCGUCGCGGGUCGCGGUCGCGGUUGUUCCACAUCUGUCACGGUAUAUCGAUUAAAUAUCGGGUGAUACGCGAGUUAAAGUAUAUAAAACUUUCAAAAAUUCUAAAAAAAAUUAUUAAAAAUAAAAAAUAAUAUAAGCAAUACAACUAUCAAAUUAAAUUUGAUAAAAAAACCUAAGUUAACAUAGAUACCAUGUAAGUCUUUAAAAAAAAUGACGUAGUUCUAAUUAAUAAACAAAAGAUGUUGAAAAAAAUCCAGUUCAUUUGUUGUUAACUAAUCCAAUUUAAUAUUUGUUGGACUAUUCUAAUCUCUUGUUCCUUUGGUGUUAGGGGGGUUGAAAUGUUGAAUGAAUGGAAACGUGAAUGCAUUCAAAAAACAGAGGAAUGAAGUUUUAGGUAUCCCCCUUUGACCAAGAAAUGUUUGUUCGGGUUAGAGAGAAAGUUGGAAAGGACGUGAGAUAGAAUCUAGUGGCCUUUGAGCUGUAAUUUAGCUGUAAUUUUUUCUUUUUCUUUUUUUUUUUGUUGGGUGUUUAUCUCUCUCUCUCUCCUCACUCCAUUCUAUCCCCUCACAUUCCCACGUACACAACCCACACUGCCUCCCAUAAUCCUUAGAAAACGUUUCCAUUCCACCGCCUUCCCCACUUUAUUUCUCUGUCUCUCUCUUCUCAAGCUCCACCACUAGGGAUGUAAUCAAGCCGAGUCGAGCUCGAGUAUCGCUAUACUCGAGCUCGACUCGACUCAUAUACACAGAAGCUCGAGCUCGACUCGAGCUCGAUCGAGUCUAAAAAAUGGAUACUCGAAGCUCGACUCGAAGAAUUUCCUUUAGGCUCGAGACUCGACUCGAUAAGGCUCGACCUUUAGUCAAGCCUUAUCGAGUCGAGUCUUAUCAAGCUUUUUGACUCGAUUUGACAAAAAAUGAGAUCAAAGGUGACGUUUUGGGAAGAUUCAAAGGCAAGCUGGAUUGCUUGACAUGAAACUUUCAAAUUCAGCAAUUACCCACCAACGGUAGGUGCCCACAAGAGCAGCAAAAAAUGGAUGAUUCUAAUUCCUCGGAUCAUAGUUCCUAAGUGUGCUGCAAAAGUUCCCAAACUAACCAAAAUUCCCCACAAAAUUCCAAAACUCAGCAAAACAUGAGCCGAGCCACCAAAUUGAGAGACAAACAAUUAUCUCAAACAGCCACAAUAUCCCAACUACCACAAGCUCAAUUCAGAAACCAAUGCCAAGAUCUAUCCAGAAAUUCCUUUUCCCCACAAAUAUCACUAAUUACUAACUAAAGAAAGCUGCUUUAAACAAGAACAUGUCAGAAAAAUAUGUUCUUGGUUCAGAAAUGGACCAUAGUCCAGCAGAAUUACAAGUGUUUGAACAGGAUAUAGAAGAAUGAAGUUGAAAACUCUUGUCACUAACCUGACCCAGCAAAGAUGACCUCAAUACCACCAUUAAAAUGCAAUCCCAGAGGCUGGAGCCUUUUACAGCAAAUUGCAACAGCUCUUUCCAGGCUGUUGAUUAGGCUGUCAUUUUAAACAGAGGAAAGAGCAAAAGAAUUGGACCCACAAGCAAAACCUCUGAACCUUAUACCACACAUGACACACUCAAAAAACAAGUUUUCUAGACAUUUAUCCUACACAUUAGCGUGUCAUUAACCAGCGGCCAGCCUGCUCACACAAUAGUCAUACAUUCGGCAAAUGAAAGAAAAAGGCUUUAAAAUAUAAACAUACUCCACAAUACAUAAUAAGUUACGUCUCAUAAAUUAACAAGGUCCAAAUUAUGAGCUAAUCUAGAUUUAGAAACAUAAAUCUUCAAAGCUUUGGCAAGUCGAAUUCUUUGAUUGUCUUGGCUUCCUACAAAAAGCAUAGAGGUAAAAACACAAAAAAAGUUACAUAACUUCCCAAAAGAAUAAAUUAACUUAUACUCAAUAACUCAAAUAUAGAAGUUUGGUAGUAAAACAAUAAAGCUGACCUUCAUCUUCUUUUUGACGCCGUGAAGAUUCCUACACCAAUCUCCUGCGCACAUCAAUACUUGAACUAUCUCGGGGUGAAGUGCUGCUCGAUAGGUGUCAAUUACUCUAGUUCCGGCACUAAAAGUGGCCUCCGAUGCAACUGUAGUUAUCAGAAUGGCCAAUAUAUCGCUAGCCAUUCGAGAAAGUAUUGGAUAUGAGAUUCGAUUUAUUUUCCACCACCCCAAACAAUCAAAUUCAUCGAGAUCUUCUCCAAUCUUUUGGCGAGGCUUGUCUAAAUAAUCAACCAAUUCUGACUUAUGAGGUUCGCUAGUCUCGACUUCAUCACAAUAUUGAUCAAAAUCACCCCAUCUAGUCUUCUUGGUCGCAUUUGUUCCUUGCCUUUGGGAAGAGCUAGAAGCCAUUGGCCCUCCUGUUGUUGGAUUCGCCGCUAGAGCAACAUACUCAUCAUAUAACUCAAAGAGCACUCGGCGAAUGGUGGAAAUGUUAUGAGAAGCCUCUGAAGGUAGAUACAUUUGAGGGUAGGUGAAGUCCACAACCCUCAUUUUCUGUCAUGGAUCUAAAAUGGCAGCCACGGCCAAUAUCAAAUUACAUUCACCCCAAUACUUGUCAAACUUAGUUUUCAUCCUUCGAACCAUGGCCCGAAUGAAGGGGUCUUCAUCAUUGACUCGAGCAUCCAGCACUUUUUUUAUCUUCACCAACUCUUGAAGGAAAAGAUUGCUCGUAGGAUAAUCUGAACUAGAAAUUAUAUGUGUGCACUCCCAAAAUUUUUCCAAGACCGAACAAACCUUUUCAGCUUUUUUCCAAUCCUCAGCAGAUGGGCAAAAAUCGUAACUUUGCUCUCUAUCUUGGAAACGGGGAAAAACAUCCUUAAAUUUGAUGGCACAAUUCAGCAUCUCAAAUGUGGCAUUCCAUCUUGUCUUACAAUCGUAAAGCAACUUUUUUCCUGGUAUAUGGAGUUGUUGCGCAAUUUCAGCAAACAUCAAUGCACGCCCCUCUGAUCGAUUCACAAAUUCCACGGAAUCCCUAAUGGCUUUGGUGAUGUCCACAAUCUCAGAAAUGCCAUCUUGAACUACAAGGUUCAAGAUGUGUGCACAGCAUCGAACAUGGAACAAUUUUCCAUCACAAAGAAGCUUUUUGGACCUGGAGAUGUCAUCUUUUAACAUUCUAACAGCUACAUCAUUGUUCGAGGCAUUAUCAACUGAUAUGCUGUAAAUUUUGUGCUCAAUGCCCCACUCUUUUGCACUUUUAAAAAUUGAAGAUGCUAUCUCAACUCCUCGGUGAGGCGGUGGUAUAUGUACAAAACUCAAGACUCGCUUUUGUAGUUUCCAAUCAGAAUCAAUCCAAUGCCCGGUGAUGACCAUGUACUAGAUCUUUUGAUUUUUUGACUUCCAAAGAUCGUUUGUGAUGCUCACUCUUUCCACAUUUUUCAACUUGUUCCUCAACUUAUUUUUUUCAAGCUCAUAUACUUGCAUACAAUCAUUUUUUGCUGUUGCUCGAGAGAUUUUCUUCCACUCUGGCACCGCUCGUUUCAUCAUAAGAUUGAAGCCUUCUUCUUCUAAUAUGGUGAAUGGAUGCUCAUGCAUUAGCACCCAAUGUGCAGCUGCCUCUCUAACUUUCUCCAUGUCAAACUUUCCGCUCAAGGGUGGCAAAGUCGGAAAAGAAUCAUCAGCUGGCUGGAAAUUUAAUUUUGUUUGCUGCUCAGCCUUUCUAAUGCUUGCUUUUCGGGCUGAACAUCUAUUCCGAUGUCUCCACAUGCUACUUGUUUGCUUUGACUUGCCUCUUGACAGUUUUUUCUUGCAAUGCUUGCAAAUGGCAUAAUUCAAUCCAUUUUCCUCAACUUCGUCAAAAUCAUCCCAAGCCUCAGAUGUUUUAUUUCUUUUAGGGAUCUGGAAUUCAUCUUCAGCUUCAGUCACUUCCCGCGUGUCUCCUCCUAUUUGACCAGUUGGUUCUUCUUCUUCUUCUUCUUGUUCUUCAAGAGCAAAUACUUGAACUCCAGCUGUUGUUGUAUCAUUACUUAUGAAAACAGGGGUAUCCAACGUGAAUGGAGUAGUUGAAUCAUGAGCAGAUGAUCGCGGGAUAGAAGAUACCUCGGGAGGACUAAUUGUCAUACCUACAAUUUACCCAUAAAGUGAAUAUAAACAUUCAUUAGUACCAGCAUAUCACCUCAAAAAAACUGCCCAACAUAUUAUACAUUUAGCUUACCAACUCCUUCGGCAUUGCCUUCUAAUCUUGAGCAACUCGUUGAAUGUCUAGUGCCACUUUGCAUUUUCUUGACAAAGAUUCUGCCCGACUGGAUUCAGAAGACAUGAAGGUAGUAAGACAUCCAAAACAGCAAAGUGUGGUCUAAGAAGGAGCAGAAAAAGAAAAAGAAUAAGCAUGUGAGGCUGCUCAAAUCCGAAUUUGGGCAAAUUCAUCACACCUAGUUGGUCAAAUCAUAACACAAAGGAUUUUGAAGUCAGUCUUAGCUAUAUUUUUGCACACCAUUAUCCUAAGUCUGAUUUUUUUAAGAGCACAAAUUCAAAUUAUUUACAUAAAUAUUGCACGAUUCCUAAAUCUGCAUCCGGUAUUUGGCGUUUGUUGAGCGCCCACAGAAUUGAAGUACUUAGAAAUCCGCAGAUGCCUCAUAUGACGCAUACUAUUACUAGCAAAUGGUGUCCAUUAUCCAGUAAAAGGAAAAAGAAAAGCCAAAGAGAUAUAGCGUCCUCACUCCUCAGGCUCUACAUCCCAACUGUCUUCAUUAAAAUUGUGUAAAACGUCUACAUAACUUCUCAGCUCCAAGCUUUAAUAGAUGAAGAGGUGUAAAAAUUAAUAAUGGAACUUAAUAGGAUUUAUCAGCUCAGCCACAGUAGGGUAAUAAAAUCUAUACUGCGUAGUUGUAAUUUGUAAAAUAACUAGAAGCUACUACAAAUUAAUGAGUUCAAAUAGUUACAAAAAUUCUGAUUUGCAAUUUGCCCACCUUCAAGAUCUGUGGGAGUUCACAUACUCCGCUUGGAAGAGGACUGCAACAAGGACACAGAAUCCUAAGACAUUUUUCUACAUACAGCACAAUAUUGAAUUCAAAAACUGUUGCUUGUUAGAUAUGGCGCUAAUUGAACUAAGCUUGACAAUGACUAAUCAAGAAGCCCUGAUCCGGACUCCAUCAGAAGGUUUUCAUUUUUCUUCGAUUUUAGUAUUUUUUUAGUUCAUCAGUAGGUUGUUUGAUAGAAGUUGUGAAGCAUCGAGGCAUAAUCCAAGAAAGUUCGACAAAGCAAAUCAUCAAGCAAAAGAUACCAGAAGAGCUGCGGUGAAAAUUACCAAGACACCAACUUUAACAUUAGAGCAGAGGCAGACAUACCAGAAUCUGGUUACCAGAUGCGAUGGCGAUGGCGAUGGAGUCUCACAGUCAGUGGUUGCCGGCUGGUAAAGUGAAAUUUUUGGCGAGGCUUUCUUCGAACAGAGAAGAAAGUCGAACAGAGAAGGAAGAAAGUCUUUUCUUUCUUUUUUUUUUAGACAUUUUUUCUUUUUAAUGUGUUAUUACUUUUUUGCCAUUAUAGGAUUUUAUUAUAAAGAAAGGUAUAUUGUAAAUUCCAUAUAACUUAUACCCAUAACGGUCAUUUUAUAAUUAUAAUAAAUAUAUAUUAUUUAAAUUAUAAAUAUUUUAUUUAAAUAACUCCGGCUCGUCGAGCUACUCGACGAGCCUCAAGCCGGGAAAAUGUGACUCGAAACUCGACUCGAUUUGUAAUCGAGCUAUUCGAAACUCGACUCGAACUCGGUCAACCCGAGUUCGAGCCGAGUUGUUGACCGAGCUACUCGCGAGCUACUCGCGAGUAGCUCGGCUCGCGUACAUCCCUAUCCACCACCAUUACCAGUUUACCACCACCCACAAAAAUCUCCAAAACCCCGAAUCCCAUAAAAUAUUUACAGAUUCAUCUUUCCACCGCCUCCCCCCCCUUUAUUUCUCUCUGUCUCUCUCUUCUCAAGCUCCACCACCAUUACCAGUUUACCACCACCUACAAAAAUUUCCAAAACCCCGAAUCCCACAAAAUUUUUACAGAUUCAUCUUACUUCCAAAUUUGCUCCAAUUCUUCUUGUUGUACUCCCAAUCUGAAGAUUAUGAUCAAUCCCAAUGAAAUUACGAGUCUUACAAUCACAACCCUCAAGAAACCUCAACUAAUUAUGAUGGGUUGCACUAGCAGAAGUGAUGGAAUGAGGAUGGCAACCGGUGGGAGAAAGAAGAAAUCAUGUGGGUGAUUUUGUUGUCUGACUCGCGAGUUGACUCGGCCAAACUCGGUAAGUUUUACUGAUUUCUUAUUGAUUUGAGUUGACUCGGUAAAUAUCGACCGAGUCAAUCCGAGUCAACUCGGAUUCCGGUGAAACGGCGAUGCGGGUGUCGGUAUCGUACCGGUGAGCCCCGUUCCGGUUAUGACUCGGCCGAGUCCGAGUUGACUCGGCCGAUUUGGCGAACCAUGGAUAGAGUUGCACAACUGUAGUGAAUCUGCAAAAAUUUCUGCUACAAGUAUUGAAGUUGAAAGCCUUGAUGUUGUCAUCAAAAGCGAUAGGCAAGUCUUUAUUUGCAUUUAGAAUCACUUUGAUUGAAACUUGAAGUUUAUGAAGUUUAUAUUGACGCACCAUUCCUGCACUUGCAUUUCCUGACAUUGUAUGGAUUGCCUGUGUCUGUGAUGCCUCCAAAAUCAUGUCACAGAUUUCAGCACUCAGCAUAAAGGGAAGCUUUGAGCUGCGGCUUGCAAUUUCAAUUUCCCAACUGAUCUGGAAUUGCUUCUUGUCAUCCAUCUUGCUGAGGCUAUUUGUAAAUGCUGCAUAAGAGAGUGGAAGGCCAGCCCCUGCCCCAUCGGAUGAAAGCGUUUCAAGGUCUUGGCAUGUACCUCAUUUAUUUUAUCUUGAAAUUGAUCUGAGAUUUUCUCCUAGUCCUAGGUAAUGAUUGAGCAGGUAGCUACUAAUACAUCUUGUUGAAUGUGAAUGGACAAGAAUCAAAUGAAUCCCAUUUGGUUCGGAAUGCUUAUAUUUUUGACAUUGAAUAAACACUAUCCCUUAGUUCUUGUGGUACCUCCCAAGUGAACUGAUAUCAAUUUUUACUUGUUUUAUUACUCAUCUUGAUGUGUUUGAAGUAAUCAUCUACUGCAUGUAAACAAAAAUUCGUCAAACUCUCUCAAUGUUCGCAAGAUUGCUUGUUCCCUUGCAGGAUAUCUUUUAAUCUUUUAUAGGGUUUUACAUAAAAAAGUUAAUAUGUUCGUUUAACAUCACCUCCUCUGUCUCCUGAUCUUUUGUGUCAGUAAUAUACACUAUUUAAAGCUGUUUGAUUUUGAGAAACAGGUUAAAAAUGGUUUAGCAUUACUUAUUUCUGUUGUCAAUAUUCAUUCCACGAGGUCAGUCCCAGAAAAGCGAGCAGGCAUUUCGGUUUCAGCUCCUAUUACAAUGCCCAGUGCAUCAGCAACCAAAACACAUCAACUAACAUUUGAUUAGUUUGAGUUUGGGGUUUUGCAAAAAAGGCACUACUACCAAAACUAAAAGAUGUUUUGUAGCAUUAUUUAUCGUGGGUACACAAUUUCAUAUUAUUUUCUUGGAUUGUAUCAAGAGUACAAUAGAUAAGUUGGACAUUUAUUUAUUUCUUAUAUAUAUAUAUUUUGACUAUGAUAAGUAUUUUGGGACAAACAAAAAUCAUAUAAAAGGGGACAUAGGGAGUAUUAUUUGGACUUCGAUCUUCCCAUGUGUCUUGGUUGGUGAAUGCGAUCAUUACUUGAGCAAACAGUUUAAUCUACAGCGUAAUGCACCAUGGGGCUUGUUCUUGUCUGAUGAUUUCACUUGAUUACUCUCAGUUCUUUAAUGUUUUUGUUUGUGUUUAUAUCUAGAUAUUAGAUUUCUUUUUAUUAGCCAGAAAAAAUAAAAGUCCAUACUCUACCAAGGAGGGAAUAGUUUUAGCUAAUUCCAUUUAUUCUUUUUUUACAAUCACUUUCCAUAAUCAACUCAUGUAAUUUCUAAAUUGCAGAGUGAGUGUCCAGAUGAAUUGGUUAAAGUUAUCAAGGAAGUUGUGAAUAAAGCACUCGAUGCUGUAAACCGUCCAAAGGAAGAUCGUCUUGUCUCAUGGUUUCUUAAACUUGAACAUGAAUUACUAGGUUAUUCUACGAGAUCAAGAAAUGCCGAGAAAAAUUCCAUUGACGAGAUGGCCAAGAAGUUUUUUGAUGGGAAGAAUGGCUUGCGCUUGGUUUUGUUGGAGACGUUAGAAAAGCUUCGUUCCUUCACGGGAGAGAUUGAUAUGAUCUGCGAGAAACUUGGUAGAGAAGAUCUUCAAUCGCAGAAUGCUUCGUUUAGCAUUUCACAGCCUAUGACGUAUUGUCCUCCUUAUUUUCCUUUAUCGAAAGGAAGAAAAAGAAAUAAAGGAAGAAGAAAGUGUCAUCGUAAGAAGACAAGCACCACGUCCAUUGCCAAUUGACAACGCGAUUGACAAAUUCUUGGAGAAGAGGAACUACAUCUACAUGAAGAAAGAAGGAAAGAAGCAAUGCUUUUGAAGUUUUCUGAAUAUCGAACUUAACUUUUUCUACACACAGACAGACUACUUUUCCUUCCUGGAAAAUGCAUAAUGACACAGACUACGUGUGUCUUCUGUAACGCAUGAUGAGCCUACAAAAUGUUCUAUUGAAAAUUAAAAGUCAGGCAAGAGUAACUCCUUGGAGAAUACUAAGCUAUGCUGCUGAUGUUCUACAACUACAAUGUGAUUGCAUACAGCAAUGCUCCUUUAUUUUGAGGGGGCUGACUUCAUAUGAAUCAGGAAUGGAUAUCUGCCUGUUUUCCUUCUCCUCAAAAGUUAAAAGAACCAUUUCUUCUUCUUUUGAUUUCUGUGGAUAAAGGAAAAGCAAAAGCACCAUUUCUCGCAGUUGGAUGUGAAAAGCUAAAAUGAAGCAUUUUGCAUUAGAAUAUCUUCUCUACCAAAUUUUCUCACAUAUCAUAUCAAUCUCUCCUGCUGUGAUGGCAUGAAACCCUCCUAACGCCUCCAACAAAACCAAGAAUGGAAUGCUUCUUGACCUUUCCUGAUCUGGUAGAAUAACCCCAGAAUACAUCUUUGAACUUUCAAAAACUCGAGAUGAGACGGUCUUUUGUCAAACAGCUUGCAGCAUCAAGUGUUUUUUUUUUUUUGAACGACAUCCCUCAUGCUUUUGACCAAUUCAGGUGAACAUUCGCACUGCAAUUCUCUCAAGCAACAUCCAAAAAAACUGGCGUACAAGUUACAGCUGAUUCACUAUCCAUUUCAUUGAAAAAGAUGAUGGUCGCCUUGAGUUCAUGACUAGCCUGAAGAAGCAUAGCUCUUGCUGCCACACGAGACGGUAGUAACACUACUAAAAUGUUGGGUAAAUCACCCCAGGCGUUGUACAAGUCAGUGUCAUUAAAAAUGCUUCACUUUCAAUAAGUUACUUCUCAACCAAAAAAAAAAAAUCAAUAAAUUAUAAUAUUAUAUAUAUAAGAUAUAUAAUAUAAUGAUAAUUUUGUUACGUGAGUUUAUCCCAUUUUUUUGGUUAUGGCAUGUUGUUAAAUAAUAAUUGACCGAGAAUUUAUGUAAUAUUUGAUGCGACUGCCGAAGUGAAGGUCCGAACUGGCCUGGUGCCUGGGGAGCGAGCUGGCGAGGCGUUCGACCUGCGCGUGAACGAGCUGCGGGGCUAAGUCCCCUGAAGCAACUCCGACGAUCAAGUCAGAAUGGAUUCGUAAGUAGAAGAGUAGAGUUUGCACUAUGAGUAGCGUACCUUGUGUUUUUCCUAUGCGUGGUAUUUAUAGAGUCACAAGUAGUAGUUUCCUGGUAGGACAAGGAGUCUUUGUUGGAGAGAAACGGCUCCUAGGGCUCCACUACCCAGCUCCGAUAAAUGCGGGCUUCGCAGCCCAUCAGGCCCAUCCGCCUGGGAGGCGGCGCCCAUCUGGACCUACGAGCUGACCUGACACUCUGACCAGCUCCUCAUGUCCGAACUCAUGGGUCGUACUGAUGUGUUUGUGGACCGGGCCGAUGUGCGCAUGGGCCCCACUACACUAGCCCCCCCUCUAGUCUAGAGUCAUCGAACAUGCGCAUGAAUCUAGGCCGACUUUCAGGGCGUCGUGUCAGCUCGGUGUGAGGCCCCCGUCGGGGAGUGGUGCAAGCAACCGUCGCGUCGGUUCGUGUCUGUCACCUCAACCGUCGCGUCGACCAGUUAUGGCGGUUAGGAACGGUUCCCCAUAAACAGUUCAAAUAUAUACGCGCCCUCUCGCUUUCCCGCCCUGAGAAUCGCCUAUAAAUAGGCCUCUUGGGCGUCAUUUUCACUCCUCCUCCUUCACUCUAUCAGUUCACUCCUUCAAUCCUUAGUUCGCUGCUUCAUCCUUUUUCCUUCGAGAACACGUCGGGUCGCCCUGCCUUAGGAGCCCAGAGUCAGUUCGCGCACUCCUUAGAUCAACCUUUCAUCCGAUCUCCUUCCAUUAGUAAGUUCCCCAUUCCUUUUUAUGUCUUCUUACAGUUCUGAUAGUUCUGACGUCACCAGUUCAGCCCCUAGGCAUAGAACAGCUAGCCCCAUACUCUUAGAUAGCAGCUCUUCAGAUUCCUUUAGUUUUUCUCCUUCUAUUUCAUUUGGGCCAGAACCCGUAGUCUCUCCCAACCUGUCCUCUGUUAGAAUAAUGAGCCCGACCAAGCGACCUGCCCAGCCUCUAACCGGAGCUGCUGAACAGGCAGCUCCAGAUCAGACGGCAGUAGGGACCUCGAGGGGGCCGAGUGGCGACUUUGGGGAGGUCGACACUAUUCCCCCAGCCCUGGAGCAAAAAGAUGUUAACGAACUGGCGGAAAAAUAUGAAAUCCCAGCCCAAUUAGAGCCCAGGGUCGCCCGUCCAGGGGAGGUUGCCAACCGACCUCCCCCUGGUUUCAUGGCGAUCUAUAGGGACCAGCUGAUGGCUGGUCUCCGCCUGCCCAUCCCCAAUUUCCUCUUCUUUAUCCUUACCUUCUGGGGUAUUCGCAUAACUCAGGUUAUUCCCAAUGCUGUUCGCUCCAUCAUAGGCUUUUUCAUCCUCUGCCGAGCACUCAAAAUCCCCUUUUCUCUUGACCUGUUCCGAGCCUUCUUCCAGAUGAAGGUCAGCGGGAAGGUGCCUGUGUGGUUCUACUUUGCCCGCCGAAGUGGAGCGAAAACCCCCACUCGCGAGGUGUUCACGGGGGCACCUUCCUCUAUCAAGGAUUGGAAGCCUCAGUUCUUUUUCGUGAAGAACCUAGGUUUUCCUCCCCUUACCUGGAGAGCAAAGACUCAAGUCUCAGAUCCCCUUCCGUCCCCGCUCCCCGUGUCCGAGCUUAGCCGCCUACUCAGCUCGGACGCGAAGCUGGACGUGAAAGAGUUCAGCAAUGACCAGCUUUGGGCGGCGGGGCUGAUCCGAGCUAGCUCCUCGGAUCCCUCACCAGAGAAUAGACCACUCUCCCCGGACGAGCUGGACACCUGUAACUAUCCUGCCCUUCCGUCUUCCUUUCCUCUUCUUUUCUUUCUUUUCUUUUUUUUUUUUAGGCAUCUACUGACCUCCUGGGCUUCUGUUUGUGCAGUGAAGCGGUUUUCUUCACUUCUGACCAUCGAAGGUACCAGCAACCCGGGCGCUACCACUCAGAACCCCUCGGCCAUCCCAACCAGCUCGGCGCCAAUUCCGACACCUCAGCCAGCUCCUGCCCAGUCCUCCAAGGCGGUUGAGGCUGGGAAGAAGAAGAAAAAGAAGACAACUGCCAAGAGAGCUAGGGUGGAGACGACCUCGUCCCCAGCUCGGAAGGAGAGGCCAACACCUGAGCCUGCUCAAGGCGGCCACUACGGCGUGAACACCGCCGAGGAACAGGCCCGGGCUGAAGCUCCCCCUAACCUGUGGCAACGCCAGAGCUCUACCCUGCUCUUCGACCCCCAGACUCGGUUGAUUACGCACUAACACCCCAUGCACUUCUGCCCCCAGUGGAAACUAUCCAUAAAUGACCGAGCACAGUUCCCCGAGGUGGCCCGGGAGCUGCUCAUGGGGCCAUCCUCCCACGGGACUACAACUUGGUUAAGGCCAUGGACUCGUCCGACCUCCUCGACUAUUACUACACGGGCACGGCUCAGGUGAAUGUCGUUGGGUCCGAGCUGGCCAAGCGCUACGAGAGCCUGCUCCCCCUGAUGAGCGAAACGAAGGCGGCCAACGAGAAACUCCUCGGCCAGAACGAAGCAGCUGUGGCCGAAGCUGAAGGCCUGAAGAAGCAACUCGCGCAAGUCCACACAAACUUCGAGCUGGAGCUGAAGAAGAACUCCGAGCUGAUCUCCCAACUGAAGGAAGAGCAACAGAAGGCAGCCGAGCUGGCCGCUCAGGCGGAGGCGGCCAGGAGGGCGUGCGGGCCUUCCUCAGGUCAGAGGACUUUAGGGGCGACCUGGCUAUCCUUAAUACCCCCGUGCUGCAACAUGGGUAUUCCCAAGCCCUGAAGGAAGUGCAAGGGCUGGGUCUGCCCGGGUUUGAUCUGGGAAACUUUCCCAGCUACAACCCCCUGGGCGUAGAGCAGCUCGACCGCCUGGUGGAGGGCUAUACGCAUGGACGGAAGCUGGCCGACCUAGUUGCUGACCCCCUGCUGCCAGUGACCACCCCCCGAAUCCGAGCAGGAGGAGGUGAACUAGAGUAGGGCUUUAGGAUAGAAUCCGAACUGUCAGUAGGCAGUUCGUUUUGUAUGAGCUCUGCUCUCCCUUGUACAGUUUUAUUGAAUGGAAUGAAAAGCCUUUCUUUUGCUUCAUACUUAGUCGCAUUUGCAAAAUUUCUUGUCAUAAGACACAUCAGUUCGGUCUUAUGCCGGCCUAAAUGAGCUAUUCUCUAAGAUAAAAUAACCAAAUACAUCGAUAUUAAUAAAAGUCUUGACCUUGAAACGAGCUGUCAUGCGCGAGUUUAACGGAAAAUGCUCAAGUUGGAAUUGUGCCAGGUACGCGGGACCUCUCCCCCACUGAGGUGAGUUAACUUGCAGUAUCCAGCUCGAUCUGCCUCUUUCACCACAUAGGGACCUUCCCAAUUUGGAUCCAGCUUGCCCGUGCCCUGAAGCCGACUCACGCUGUUCUUCCUCAAGACCAGGUCCCCUAGUUUGAAGGAUAGAGGCCUCACCCUAGCAUUGUAGUGUCGCGCAACCUGUCCUUUGUACUUAGCCAUACGUAUGGCCGCCUCUUCUCUUCUUCCUUCCAGCAGAUCCAAGUUAAGACGUAGCUCGUCCUCGUUGUCCCGAGCUAUGAAAUUCUGAACUCUGCCCGAGGGAACACCGAUCUCUGCCGGAAUCACGGCCUCUGCCCCGUAAGUAAGGGCGAAAGGAGUUUCCUGGGUGGCAGUUCGAGGAGUGGUCCGGUACGCCCAUAGUAUUGUAGGCAGCUCGUCGAUCCAUCCAGUCUGAGCAGACUCUAUCUGGGUCUUCAAGCCGUGCAGGAUGGUCCUAUUGACGUUCUCUACCUGACCAUUGGCUUGAGGAUGACCUACCGAAGUGAAGUGCUGCCGAAUUCCGAGCUCCGAGCACCAACCUUGGAGAGAGUUGUCCGCGAACUGUCGUCCGUUGUCUGAGACCAGGACCCGGGGUAUACCAAAUCGACAAACAAUGUUUCUCCAGAGAAACUUCUGGACCGACCUGCUGCUAAUGGUGGUAAGGGGCUCGGCCUCCACCCACUUGGUGAAGUAAUCCACAGCCACCACUAUGUGUUCAUAGCCCCCAGGAGCUCGAGGGAACGGCCCCAGCAGGUCUACCCCCCAUUGGAAAAAGGGCCAAGGGCUCUGAAGAGGCACCAUCUCUUGAGUUGGGGCAUGGUGGAUCGGAGCAUGCAGUUGGCAGGAUUUGCAUCGGGCUACCAGCUCGGCUGAGUCCAAGAAGAUGGUGGGCCAGUAAUAUCCAAACAACAUUCCUUUUUUGGCCAGAACCCUCUGGCCGACAUGGUUCCCGCAGAUACCCUCAUGUAGCUCACGCAGGAUAUAGUCUCCUUCCUCUGGAGUCACGCACCUCAACCAUGGACGUAGAUAUGAUUUUUUGUAAAGUACCCCAUUCGAGAGCUCGUACCCCCGCGACUUGAGAAGGACCCUUCGUGCUUCUACCCGACUUGAGGGGAGCUCUCCGUUGGCCAGGUAGCGCACGAGGGGAUCCAUCCAGGAGCUUACUACUUGAAUAACGGUCGCAUCUACCUGAUCAUAUGCCCGAUUCCUGACGACCUCCACCAAGACCUCUUUGUUCAACGUGCCCACUGAGGUGGAGGCUAGCUUGGACAGUGCGUCUGCCCUCUUAUUUUGGCUUCGCGGGACCUGCUUGAGCGUGAACAGUUUGAACUGAGCUCUCAGCUCAUGCAUUCUGGCGACGUACCUUCUUAGUGGCUCCUCUUUAACUUCAUAACUUCCCCCUACCUGAUUUACUAUCAGUUGCGAAUCACUGUAGACUUCUAUUGAUUCGGCCCCCAACUUUCGAGCUAUCAUCAUCCCCGCGACCAGGGCCUCGUACUCGGACUCGUUGUUGGAGGCCCUGAAAUCAAAUCUCAGGGCGUAGGCCAAUUCAUCCCCCAUGGGGCUGGUCAAGAGAAGUCCCGCUCCGCAUCUUUCCUUGCUCGACGACCCAUCCACGAACAGCGUCCAGGUCGGAAUGGACUGACCUACCUUUCCGGCGGCCUGCUCGACCUCCACAGCAUUUCUGACCUGUCCGGCCUCCGCUGUGUUUCCAUUCGGCUCGUCCUUAGCUUCCUUUGUGGCCUAUAUGACCUCGACAGGUUAUCCGGCCUGCUUGGCCUCGGUUGCGUAUAUGGUCUGUUCGGCCUUGGAAGUCUUAGUGGCUUUCGUGACCUCGGCAGCUUCUCCGGCCUGUCUGGCCUCAGCUGCGUUUUGGGUCGGUUCGAACUUGGCGGCCUGGGCGAACUUCGGCAUCUUCUCCGGCCCGCUCGGCCUUAGCUACGUCUCUGGUCAGCUCGACCUCCGAUUCCUGUUGUCCAAAGAAAAUUCCUUCGGCUAUGAAGUCUGCCAAUGCUUGGGCUUUAAUGGCCGUGCAGGGUUGGUAGCUGAGGUCGUACUCGGACAGCUCCACGGCCCACCUCACCAUUCUUCCCGAUGCAUCAGGCUUUGAAAGAAUUUGCUUGAGAGGCUGGUCAGUCAUUACUAUCACGGGGUGAGCUUGGAAAUACGACCUGAGCUUCCGGGCCGCGUGAACUAAUGCCAGAACAUACCGCUCAAUCGAGGUGUACCUUGGCUCCGCGCCCUGCAGAGCUCGGCUGACAUAGUAUACGGGCUUCUGGAUUUUGCCUUCUUCCCGAACUAGCACCGCACUGAUUGCCUCCUCCCCCAUUGAUAGAUAGAUAAAUAAGGUUUCUCCUUGUGCGAGAGAGGUCAAGGCUGGCAACUGAGCGAUGUGGGCUUUUAGUUCGUCAAACGCUCACUGGCACUCGGGGGUCCACUCAAACUGGGGACCUCUUCGCAAGGGCUUUGAAGAAGGGGAAACCCCGAACUGCAGACUUCGACAAGAACCUGUUUAAGGCCGCCAUCCUGCCAGCUAGCCGCUGGACCUCUUUUAUGUUUCGGGGAGGAGCCAUGUCCAGGAUAGCUUUUACCUUGUCGGGAUUAGCUCUUACCCCGUCCUUGGAUAUCAUGUACCCAAGGAACUUGCCCGACCUAACCCCAAAGGUGCACUUCUUGGGGUUCAGCCGCAUCCGCGAGCUCCGUAGGACGCCAAAGAUCUCCCUGAGGUCGUUGAUGAACUGCUCCUGAGUUCGGCUUUUCACCAGCAUGUCAUCUACGUAUACCUCCAUAUUUCGGCCGAUCUGGUUUCUGAACAGCUUGUUGACCAGCCGCUGAUAGGUCGCGCCAGCAUUCUUUAACCCAAAUGGCAUGGUGGUAUAACAGUACGUGCCGUACUCGGUGAUGAAGGCAGUCUUCUCCUGAUCCUCCUCAUCCAGGGCUAUCUGAUGAUACCCUUUGAAGGCAUCCAGAAAGCAAAAAAUCUCGCAUCUGGUAGUCGAGUCUACCAGCUGGUCGAUGCGAGGGAGAGGGUAACAAUCCUUCGGACAAGCUUUAUUCAGGUCGGUGAAAUCCACGCACAUCCGCCAAGCCCUGUCCUCCUUUUUGACCAGCACAGGGUUGGCCAGCCAGGUCGGAUAGUAGAUCUCUUUCACAAUUUUGGCCUCCAACAGCUUGCCUACCUCCUCUUUGACGACCUCGUUGCGUUCAGCCGCGAAGUUUCUCUUCUUUUGCUUCACUGGCCGGAUGCUCGGGUCCACGUGCAACUUGUGAACUGCCAGUUCGGGAGGAACUCCGGGCAUGUCGUCAGUACUUCAAACAAAAAUCUCGGCGUAUUCCUCCAGGAGAGACUCCAGGGCUCUCCGCGUUAGCUCGUUUAGGCCGGAUCCAGCCCUAACCACACGAUCAGGUCGUUCGGGGCAGAUAGACAAUUCAACCAGACUCUCGUCCGUCUCCAACCUCUCCUCUUUUUCAGCAGGUCCCCAAGGUUCCAGAUAGGCUGCCUGGGCUACCAGCUUCUCCUUACCCUUGAGGGUUGCGAUAUAGCAGGCCCGAACUACCUCCGGGUCUCCCAGCACCUCGCCCACUCCAUCGGGCGUUGGAAACUUCAUGCUAACGUGUAAGGUCGAACAGACAGCUCGGAGUGCGUUUAGGGUUGGCCGUCCUAGUAUCAUGUUGUAGGAGGAUGGCUCCUUUACCACCGCGAAAUUCACCGGAACAGUUCGGCACCUCGAUGACUCCCCUACAGUGACCAUGAGGGUUAACAUUCCCUCUGGCCUUAUUGGCGGACCUGCAAAACCUAUCAAAGGAGUACGAACUGGGAUGAGCUGCUUAUCUUCCAGCUGCAGUUCUCUGAAGGUCUUGUAGUACAACACAUCGAUGGCGCUCCCAUUGUCGAUGUAUACCUUCUUUACUUUGUAGUUACACGUGAUGACUUCUAUCACAAUUGCCUCAUGGUUAUUGAAGGCUAAGGGUACCGCAUCCUCUGGCCCAUAGAUGAUCUCCUCGUACAACUUUAAGUGCUUGUUCGAGCUCUCCCCACUGGGGGGAGGUCGAUUAUUUCGCCGAGCCGUAUGGCUAUCUCCCCCAGCAGGUCCCCCUGCAAUAGUGUUGAUCACUCCUGCUAGGUUCUGAACUCCCUGCUCUGGAGUUCGAUCACGAGAACCCCGAGGUCGGUCGUGCGAGCUGGUCGCCCGAUCUCGUUUGAACCCCCCUUGCUUUUGAUCAGUUCGCCCCUCACGGACAAACUGGCCAAGAUGACCUCUUCGUAUCAGCUUUUCGAUUUCCUUCUUAAGAUGGCGGCAGUCCUCAGUAUCGUGCCCGACGUCCCGAUGGUAAGCACAGUACAGGCCUUGGUCGCGCUGGUUUUUGUCGCCAGCCAGCGGCUGAGGGGGGCGGGAGAGCCCUUGUUGUUCCAUUACGGCCAGAACCCGAGCUCUUGGUGCCGUGAGCGAAGUCCAGGCUUUUUCCUUUUCCCAUGGUCGGCUCCGAGGUAAGCGCUCAGAUACGCUCUUCCGCCCCUGACCUGGUCUCGACUCUCCCAGGUCGGUACCCCUCCUGCACUUGUCGUCUCGCAACCUCUCCUGGGCGCCCUUCAGUCGAUUGGCCUCCUCGGCGUUCGCCUUCUCAUGAGCUCGGUCUAACAUCUCCCGGACGGACUUGGGAGGUCUUUCUACGAACUCCGUAUACAACUUCUGUUUGCGCAACCCAUUGACGAAGGCGGCCAUCACCACCUUGUCAUCUCGGUCCCGAACCUGGAGGGAUUCAUUGUUGAAGCGUACCAUAUACUCGCGCAACGACUCCUCGGGCCCUUGAUGAACAGUCAUCAAAUGAGCCGUAGUUUUUGAGAAGGCGCGCGAGGAGACGAACUGAGCUGCGAACAGCAGCGCAAGCUGGCUGAAUGACCGAACUGACCUGGGAGGCAACCCCUGGAACCACUACCGGGCCUUUCCUUCCAGGAACAUCGGGAAGGUCUUGCACCUGACCGCAUCAGCAGUCGUCUGCAGGCGCAUCUGAGUCAGAAAUGCGAACAGGUGAUCUUCCGGAUCUGUGGUCGCGUCAUAGGACUUCAUGGACGGUAUCUUGAACUUUGCCGGCAGGGGAUAGUCUUCGAUAUCCGGCACGAAGGGAGAGGCUGUGUACCUGUCCGACUCUGGAUCCAGCAUGAGGUCCAGUUCAUCCUGGAUCUGGUAUUCCUCCUUCCUGUGAGGAACCUCCACCCGUGAGGGCCUCGGGACAGGCUCCGGAUGACUAGUUCGGGAGUUCCUGUGAGAGGGCUCCGGAACCUGGACCCGUUCACGCGUGAGCUCCUUUCGUGCCCUCUUCGGCCGAGGGCCAGGGCUCCCUGAUCGGGAUUCCGAACUCCCUGUUCCGUCAGCUUUUCGCACCCGGGGCUCCGGACUGGGAGGGACUCCGGAUUGCCCCAUUUGGUAUUUCACAAUGGCCUCGAAAGUAGGCAAGUUCGCCGCUACAGACUGCACCAGCUGUUCUGGCGAGAUCCGCGAGAGCUCGUUCCUUUCAUUCUCCACGAUGGUAUCCUGGUGGACGUGCUGAGGGUCACCCUGCCCAUUCCCCUCAGAACCAUCCACGUUCCUCUGAGACCUAGUCUUCGGCAUGUUGUUCGCGAAAAAAAGAGAAUAGUUUCCCACAGACGGCGCCAAUUGAUGCGACUGCCGAAGUGAAGGUCCGAACUGGCCUAAUGCCUGGGGAGCGAGCUGGCGAGGCGUUCGACCUGCGCGUGAACGAGCUGCGGAGCUAAGUCCCCUGAAGCAACUCCGACGAUCAAGUCAGAAUGGAUUCGUAAGUAGAAGAGUAGAGUUUGCACUAUGAGUAGCGUACCUUGUGUUUUUCCUACGCGUGGUAUUUAUAGAGUCACAAGUAGUAGUUUCCUGGUAGGACAAGGAGUCUUUGUUGGAGAGAAACGGCUCCUAGGGCUCCACUACCCAGCUCCGAUAAAUGCGGGCUUCGCAGCCCAUCAAGCCCAUCCGCCUGGGAGGCGGCGCCCAUCUGGACCUGCGAGCUGACCUAACACUCUGACCAGCUCCUCAUGUCCGAACUCGUGGGCCGGACUGAUGUGUUUGUGGACCGGGCCGAUGUGCGCAUGGGCCCCACUACAAUAUCCAAUAUGAAAAAAUAGAUCCAUGUGAUUAAAAUAAUUUUUAAAUUUUAUCUCAUGUUAAAUUUUUUGCUAAAUCUAUUUUUAUCAUUGGUGUUAUACAUAUAUAAAAAUAAAGUCACGUAAAAAGUAAAGUAAAAGUGGGGGUUGGGGCACCAGUGGCGUGGCGGAUGGAGCGGAAGGCGGAGGAAUUUUUUAGGUAAUAGAACGGGUCCCAGCCACGCAGACGCUGCCAAGCGUAAGUGUAUCCUGUUUUGAUUGAAGCUAAAAAGUGCGCCUAAAUGCUAAAUUCCCCGGUAAACCCACCGGGGCUAAAGUUGUAAUGUGAAUUUGGCUCUUUGUGGACUGAAGUUUGAAUAGAGUUGACCAGUGGGCUAUAAAGAAAAGCUCCCCGCUUUCAUGGUUUCUUGUCUACUACCGGUAGUAAAUUUUCCGAUCAGCCGCGACCAGAAAGCUUCUUCUACUUCAAAAUUGAACUAUUGGUACGAUCUUUUUUUGCUUUUAGUAAUUCUUUGAUCUUACUCUUUGGAUUUCUUCUUUCUUGAAAUCAGAUAACUAAUGGAGCUUUUCCAUCCUGUUGAUCAGAGAUGGCGACUUAUGCUGCACUGGCUUCUCUUCUGCAAACACUGGAUUAUCUACUGAAGUUCCCGUUGUUGAUCCUCGAAGUUAAGAAAAUGAAAGCCGAAGGUCUCAAACCAAAACUCGAUGAACUCUUAUUGCUUUUGACGGCAGGAGAACCCUCCGCAGUGUCGAGCUCGAGCUCCGGCUCUUGUCUGUGGAAGCUAAUUGAAGAAACUGAUCGAUCUCUGCAAUCAUCUGUAGAAGAUUUUAUUGAGGCACUUGGGAGGUCUCAUGCAGCUGAUACUUCGGAGAUCAGACAAAGAUUGCUACUAUACUUUACUAGCAGUACAAAGCCAAAAUUUGAACUUCUUGCGGAGGGAAAGCCUCAAAUAUUCAAGGAGAUCACAUCCUUUGAGGAAAAUUUGAUGAAAUUUCUCCACACCACUGUUCAAGACUGCUUCUCAGGCAGGCCUAACCAUUUCUUGUACCGAUAUGGCCAUGUGGAAGAGGAUCUAAAUCCUCGAGAAUUGCCAGAUUUUUUUAUACAAAUUGUAUAUUCUCAAGUAGACAGUGAAACACCAGUAGAUGAUUCCCUGUUCUCCUCACCAAGCAGUGAGACUGAUGACCCCUACGUCGACAAACUUGACUCGACCGUACAACAUUCAAAUGGAACCAUCUCCUUUCCAGACCUUGAACAGCUGUUGUCGUUGGCAUUUCGCCAGAGCCGACUUCCAGUAAUUGUUAACAAGAUGGGACAUUUGUGGAGAACCUGUCAUCGGGUCGAUGACAGCACACUAGCUUCUCGAAAGCCACUUCCGAUUUAACAACUCUCCACCAGGAUAUUCGGUUCUUGCUAACUUUUCUUAAGGAGGAUUCUUCUAAUAAAUUCUGCCCUCAUCAUGAAUUGCUGAAAUGUAUGAAAGAUGUUGCAGAUAGAGCAAGGGUUCCUGUCGAACAAUGUAUGGUAGACUACCAAAUCGAGUCCAUUAUGACGUACCCCUUUUGCUUAUUGGCUGGGAUUCCUGCAAAAUUACAAGAUUCUGGAAAGAUUCUUGAGUGUGCAGUGGACAGGAUUUUCUACGGAAAGAAGGGCAUUUCCCAAUAUUUGGUGCAGGCAUCAAUGCAGAUUCAACCCAUUAAAGAAAUGAUUACAAAGAUAAAUGAUGAGAGUUCAAGUGCGCACACAUCAAUUGGCAGCAUGUCUCUACGCCAUUCAAAUAAGGACGACAUUGUGGUGGGUCUUGAUGAUGAACUGGUUAGCCUCCUGGAGGGACUCACCAGAGUGCCAUCAGGGCUAGAAAUUGUGACCAUUUUAGGGAUGGGCGGCAUUGGUAAGACAACUCUUGCUCGAAAAGCUUUUCGUCAUUCUUACACUGAAUAUCACUUCUAUUGCCGUGCAUGGGUCACAGUUUCCCAAGUAUAUCAAGUCAGAGAUUUGUUACUGGGCCUUUUGGGCUGUCUUGGUCACUCCACUGAUAAAUUGGUAGAGAAAAACGACGCUCAAUUAGCUGAAGUUGUGUACAGAAGUUUGAAAGGUAAGAGGUACUUGAUUGUUAUGGAUGACAUAUGGAGUAUCGAUGCUUGGAAUGAUGUCAAAAGAUGCUUUCCUGAUGACAAAACUGGUAGUAGAAUCUUAUUAACCAGCCGCGUUACAGAGUUGGCUAGCUACAUCAAUGCAAAGAAGCCUCCUCAUUGUAUGAGUCUUCUGGAUACUGAGCAGAGUUGGGAACUGUUGGAGAAGCUUGUAUUUGGGAUAGCAAGUUGCCCGCCUGAAUUGGAGAAAUGUGGAAAGCUUAUAGCUAAAAGAUGCCAAGGACUACCACUAGCAAUUGUUGUAAUGGCUGGUGUACUUUCACGUGUCGUCAAGACAUAUGACUGUUGGAAUAAUUUUGCAGAGAAGGUAUGCGCAAUCAUCUCCACUAAUCCAGAAGAAUGCCUGGAUAUACUUGCUUUGAGUUACAAUUAUUUGCCCCAUCAUCUCAAAGCCUGCUUCCUCCAUAUGGCGGCUUUCCCUGAAGACUGUGAAAUAGAAGUUCAAAAGUUGAUUAAUCUAUGGGCUGCAGAGGGAUUCUCGGAUCCCCAAUCUUCAGAAAAUCUAGAACAGGUGGCAGAGGAGUAUUUGGAAGACCUUAUUGGUAGAAACUUAGUUUUCAUUGAAAAGGAGUGUUUUGGAGGAGAAGUCAAGACCUGUCGUCUCCAUGAUUUCUUACGUGAAUUAUGCUUGAGAGAAGCACAGAAAGAGGACUUCAUGCAUGUGAUACAAAAGAGAGGUACCAAACGCUCUCGAGUAGGCUUGCGUAAUCAGCAUCGCCUCAGUUUCCAUUUGGAUCCUUACAAUGAUGUGGCUGCGGCACCUGGAAUCCCACACGUCUCGUCUUUUAUGUGUUUCACAUUGGGUACUAAUAUUGUUCCGAAUAUUCUGUUCUUUCAAUUAGGCUUUAAGGUGCUUAGAGUAUUAGACAUAUUCUUUCUGCAUUUUGAUUACUUCCCUGCCCGAAUACUAAAACUGAUUCAUUUGAGGUAUCUUGCGCUCAGUGCUACUUAUGAGCUUCCUGCAUCAGUAUCACAAC